This 54208-nucleotide long non-coding RNA is filed under the name Arabidopsis lyrata. RNAcentral's name for it is "long non-coding RNA (ALYR_LNC002189)". The record is from RNAcentral. Lineage: Eukaryota; Viridiplantae; Streptophyta; Magnoliopsida; Brassicales; Brassicaceae.
CUUUCUUUAUGGGCUGAAAAUUAUUUUCCUUUUGUUAGGCUUUUUCGUGCAAAAGGGCUUUGAUGACUCCAUCAUCAUUACUCCGAAGCCUGAAAUUCCGUCGACAUGUAGUCAGUCUCUAAACUAAUUGAUUUUUUUUUAUUAUUCGUCUUUGUGUGAUAUCAUCACUCACCCAUAGGCCAUAGCUUUAAUAUCUGUAAUGAUUCUCGAGGAAGGGAUCAUCUUGGUCGAAGAAGAGUCAACAUCAUCUUCCAUCGCUCGUCUCUUGUUUUGGUUUGGUUGGUGAAGAUUUGUCCAAGAACAACGACAAAGCAACAUAUCAAACGCAGAUUUGUCCAAGAACAACGACAAAGCAACAUAUCAAACGCCGAACAAUUUGGAGCCAAAGAUGGAUCAACAACGAAGUAGAAACUGAAGAAAAGAAUCGUAAAAUCAGAGAAUGAAAUUGCAUCUUUCUCAUUCUCUCUCUCUCUCUCUCUCUCUGUGUUUCUCUGGGUUUGUGAUGAUACUAGUAGACAGAGAGAAGAGAGGAUGCGCGACAUGUAUAUAUAGACUUUGUUGUUUCUCUGUGUUUCCUUUUUUUUUUGGGGAUUCAAAAUUUCCUUUUUUUUUUUUACUCUUUUCAAAGUUUCCUUUUUUUUAAUAGAUUCAAACGGUCUUUUGUGUUUGUAUCCUUUUUUCUAAAUAUCGUAAGAUUCUUUCUGCGAGAAAACAAAGCUUAUGUAUCUGUCUUUUUAUAAUCGUCUUGAAGGCAGCACUGAGAUGAGAUUUGGUGGGUUGAUAAGUACAUCGAACUUGGUAAAAGAAGAGAAAAUCAUAGUCGAAUCGGAUUCGGAUCUUCUCUGGACUAUAUCCAUCAAGAAAACAGGAAUUUCCGUACAAGACCAUACACCUUAGGGGCGACACUUUAGUUUUAUACGUUACUAUGAUAUUCAUGAUGCAUCGAAUUACUUCCAACAUUAUUGUGUUGAUUUUUUUUCACUAUACCAGCAAAUAAUACUUGUAUGUACUAAAGCGUUCAGCCAUAUAGCUGAGAAAAACAAUUUAUUGCCUUACCAAACAUCAGCUAGUGUGUUACUACAUUUGUACCAAAGAGUAAUUAUCAAAUCUAAAACAAACAAGUUUUACUUGGGUUCUUCUGUCCAUCGUCUCUUCAUUUCGGAUUUUGAUCUAACUUCUUUAAGAUUCCCAUCCAAACCAUAAUCCCUCUCCAUCACAAGAUUGAUUCCUUCAUCUGAAUACCAUCCAACUCCAAUGCACAAGACUCCAUCUUUCUUCACAUCCACGUAUGCAGUCACACCACCUGGUAGCCACAUCACAGACACAUCUUGCAUAUCUAUCACCUCUUCUUCUCCAAACGAAACCAAAGUUUCUGGUAAGUUCCUUCUCUUUAGAGCUUCUGUGCACAGGUACACAACUGGAGUGCUUUCACCUGGCUGCUCGAAUUCGGCUUCUUCUCCAUAGAUUGGAGUUGCACUUACUUCAAAUACUUUCCAUGAUCCUGUUAGUUCUGAUGGUUGCGUGCGUUUCCUCUGCGAGAAUGGUUUUAACUCCAAUGGUGCGUCGUUGUCACUGAGACAUAAACCGUUAGGGUCAGAGACAUACCGAAGAAGAGAAUGAUAUAAAUCAGAGGUUGGAGUUACCUUUGCUCUUCAUAAUUUGAAGGACUAACCCACUGUUCUUCAUAGACACCAACUCUCAUUAUCUGUAUAUCUGCACCACCAUUGGCGAAUUCUAUAGUGUGGACUACUCUCAGUCUCUUAUGGCAACCCUUCACCAGACACUGGACAAGAAGGAGCAAUGAGCCAUUUCUUCUCUCUUAAAAAGCAAAAAAACACAGACAUACCUGUUCAAACUUGAAAGUCGGUGUGAGGUAAUAGUUCGAUUCACUCAUUUCCCCAACAGGGAUUGUAACUGGACCUCUGGAAUACGAUCCAUCCUGCAUAUCAACCAAAUGGAAACAUUACAUGAUGAAACCUAGCCAAAGGGAGAAUCAGAGCUAAUCUAGUAGCUUCCAUGAAAUGUACAUACCUCGAAGUAAACGAGGCCGGGUUGAUCUACCAUGGAAUCCUCUUCCAUGACAUCACUUGCUUUCAAGUUAAAAGACUCGAACUUAGGCAAACGAGUAUCUACACCAGUCUGGUCAACCAAAAUCUCAUCUUUACUCUCAGAAAUUUGGAAAAACUCUCCAUGAGGAUUCAAAGUAACCCAAUUGAUCUUCCUCUGUAUCUCAGACUCUGUAUUAGCUCCACCAGAAGGAGGAGAUGGUAAAGCUUCGAUCCUAGAAAGAGUAUAACAAUCAUAAAGACUCUCAUUCUUCUUCCCAAUUUCAAUAGGUUCCAUCUCUGCAGUUAUCGGCGAGAACACAGCUCCUACACCUUUCCAAAUCCCACUUACACUACUCGCAAAUGUUCUCCAAACUGGUUUAAUCACAGGUUCCUAACAAACCAAUUUCAAUCAGAAAAUAGCUAAUUUUCGUCUUAGAGAUUGAAAUCUGAAAUCGAAACCUGAGUUUGAAGAACAGUCUCGGAUUCGAUCAACAUCGUCCCUGAAACCAAAACUCUGCCGAUUUUACCCUUUCUUCCUCCACCUAAUCUCUUCCCGCUUCUUCUUCCUCCCUUUGGCUUCACCUUACGCUUCUCCUUCUCCGCCAUUUCGUUGUCAACGCUCCAUAUAUUCUCUUUGUUACCUUUCAGAGUCACUUUCCCUUUGUUUCCCGCCGGACGGCUAUUUCCGUCGUUUGGUCUUGAUCCCUGCGCCACGAUUUUCCUCCUGUUGACAUUGUUUCGUCGCCGGAAAUUGCAGAUUGAAGGAGAUAACAGAGCAUUAUGAAAUCCAAAGCAAAGACUGUGGUUGUUACAUGAAAGUGGAGAAGAAGAAGUGAAGCUUUUACAGAGAUGAAGAAAUGGCGUUUGCAUCGUAGAAGAUGAUGAGAACGAAAGCAAAGUGACUUGAAACAUAUCGAUAGCGUUGAAACAAAGAUGAGUAUUAAAUGGGCCGUUAAUACAGUAUUAGGCCCAUACUAGACCGUUAAUACAGGCCUAGGCCCAAAAUAUUCAAUAUCGGCCUAAAUUGUCUAAAAGUAUGAUCCUAGAUGGAUGGAAAUAGGGAUCAAUAUAGCAUCUUUUUUUUUUUUUUGUAAUAUUUUGGGGAAGUGAACUUGUGAUUGGCUAGGAAGGUUACUGGUGAUCGACGUUUCCUUUAAGGCCGACAAAGUUAAUGGACCACGAGGAGUUUUAUAAAGUAGUUUUUCUUUCUUUCUUUCUUUUUAUAGCUUUAAAAGGUGUAAUGAUGACUUUUUCAAUCUCAAUUUUAAAAACAAUCUUGAUAACUUUUUUGAUUCAUAUACGUGCAUUCUGGAGAUCAAGACAUUGAAAUACGAACACACUAGAACGAAUAUUUCGGAAUAAGUAUGUUGGAAUAUUGAUGCAUUGGCUAAUGAAGCAUGACCAGACAAAGGUCAUUGGAAAGUAGGUUUCUUUUUUUUUUUUUUUGCGUAAAGCUAAAGGAAAGUAAUAAAAAUACAUUAAAAACGAAAUAUAUAGUGAUAUUAAAUACUUUAGUUGACAAAAUUGACAGCAGGAAAAACAUUACAUGAAGGCCAUAAACUAAGAGGUUUGACCAAAUCUGAAGGUAAAUCAGGUUUAAGAAUCAGAAGAAGAUAUCUAUUCCAACUGGUGCAACGGUUGUUGUACCCGUUGUAUCGCCCAUAGCUACAAGUCUAUUUAUUUUAGUGUUUAUGUAUGAUGAUAUAUAUAAUAUUUGAUAUAGAUAUGAAACUUUGUCGAACCCCCAUAAAAAAGAAAAGAUAUGACACAAAUAAUAUUUCUUUGUGUUUGCAAAUUGGUUUUGUAGUCAGUCAACAACCAAAGGUUUACUUGUUAAUUAUUCAGCGGAAGUCAUCUUUGAUGUUAUUCAUGCAAGAAAUACCAAAGAUUUUGUUUAUUCGCAAAUUGUCUGUCAAAUAUUUUAUUACGAAAUUAAAGAAAAAACAGUUAGGAAGUUUCGGUUUGAAAUUAGGUUUGAUAAUAUAGAUGGUGAAUCCAUAAUUUUUUUUCUGUUCAAGUGAAAAUCAACUCAUAUCCGAUACAGCAGUUGGAUAACCAAUAUUUGAUUUUUUUUUUUUUAAUAAGAUUGCGAUGACAUUAUAUAUAUGUAUAUAGUAAUAUAAAUGGCAAAACAAUAUGUUUCUUACCCAACUCAUCACGAUGUUGCACUGGUUUAAUAAGUUAUUUAAAAUUGAGGAACUAGAAUUCAAAGUUUUUAACUAAGAUCUCAAUUUUCUUCAAAAAAAAAACUAAGAUAUCAAUAAUGGUUGACAAUUGUGAAUGUUUGAAGUAGCUAGCCUAGAAUAGUCUGCUCUAGCCUCAACCCUCAAGUAUUAGUUUAGGUAUGGAAUAUGGAUUCUCCAAUUAUAAAAACAAAUAGAGAACAAUAUAUAUGUUAUAUAUAAAUUUAUAUUUAUGUAUGUAUGUGUAUGUAAUUCUUGAUAAUACAAAUAGAGAAAGCUUGCAGCUAAUACUUUGAGUUCAAGUAAAGGGUGGCAAUUAUCUAUGUUUUCUUGCUCCUUUCCUAGCAUGAAAGGAUGAUCGCUUUUUGUAGGUAAACAAAUUAUUUAUAUUCAAUGUUUGGGAUCGAUCUAGGAAAAACAGAUGUAGAAAUCAAAUUACAAAAUUUAUUUAGUUGGACAGAGAAAAGAAUGUUCUGAGAAGGAGUCAAUGAUGUGGUCGCCUAAAGUUUGUAUAGUCUUAAGCUAUGAAUAGUUGUGUACCAUAAGCUCAAGAAAUAUAGAGAUUGCAACAUUUCUUUUGAAUGAAUGAUAGAGACUUGUUUCUGAAUUCUCUUGCUGUAAAUGUAACAUUUUCAAAAAUUUCAUAUAAAAGCUUAAAAGAUCUCCUUGUAGACAUGUCACAUGUGUUGGAUGAUUGAUUUACAAUCUCGUGGACCAAAAAAACAAAGAGUGUAAUUAUACGGAGGCCGGCUUUAGUUAAACUUCACCCAUCAUAACAACAUAUGGCCCAUCCCAUGUCAUAACAACAUAUGGCCCAUCCCAUGCCUAUUGCAAAUGUCGCAGACCGGCGCGUGAUGAUUUACAUAAUUUUGAUUUAAAACUCAGAAAAAUACAUGAUACAAUACGUCAAAUUGCAUGUACAUAUAUUAAUGGUAGUUGAAAGGAAAAAAACAGAGGUAUACAAAUAAAUCGAGCGUCCUCCAAGCAUGUAAAAUAUAAUUAAAAUAACACCUAUAAUUUGUUGCAAAAAAAAUAAAGAAUGCCCAAAAACAAUUUCCAUUUAUUUUGUUCUACCAUAUUACGACAAAAAAAAAAAAAAAAGAAUAAAAGUGUUUGACUUAAGGAGCCAAAUUAAUUAACCAAUGCUUAAUGACCUAACGAACCAGUCACUUUUCUUAAUUUUCCGGUACGACUUGUGACGGCGACGCUGAAAACGAUUGAAGUACACGCGCGGGGUCCUCCAGCCUAAUUGCCACCUGUACACCAGCCCUGCCCGUCGUUACAAUUGACGUAACUAUAAAAAUCUCAUUUUCCUUUUUUAUUUUAUUUCUAAUCAAAAAAAAAUAAAAGAAACGGCAAAAAUUUAUACUGAAAUCUUUUUUCUUCCUUAUUCUCUCAUUCCGCUUGAUUUCGCCGUCCGAUUAUCUCAAGCGCCGAUAAAAUCCGGCGGCACUCACUAGAUCUUGAAACCAUAGUUUGUUUCUUGCUCAAGAUUCUUGAGGAUUCUCUAUAACUAGUUUCGAAGUUGAUCGCUCUUUGGUUUGAGUCCUCGAUUCUCGACGGUGAUUGAAUUCUUCUCUUACUUUCUUUUUUUUGGUUGUUUAAGUUCGCUGUAUCAAUCGCGACGUUUUUGUGAUUCGCAUUGCGUCUGGAGUUGAUCAUGUACCGAUUGGUUUCUUAUUGAUUCGAUUGCUGAUGAAGUUAUCUGGUUUUGCAUUUGAUUGUUCGCAGGAUGGCGAUUCUGAGGUGAAUCUGAGGAGCGAGAAAAGAGAAAUCGAGAGAUGGAUGAUAGAGAAGGCUCGUUCGUAGCUGUCAGGCGGAUUUCUCAGGGUCUCGAACGAGGGAGCGUUUACAAUUCAUCAUCUGGUAAUUUCCAUCCUCUCUACAAUGGUGGUUGCAUUUUUUCUGUCUUUUGGGUGAAAUUUGUACUAAUGCGUUUUCUGUGAGCAUUGCUUGGUUUCUGGAUUCUCUGCUAUUGUUUUUUUUUUUUUUCAGAUUGUCUCUAGAAUUAGAGUACUAAUGCACUCAUUAGUACUUAACUUGGAUUCCAGUUUUUUGUCAAGGAGAAUGAUGUUAAACCCUUAGUAUUUGGUAGAUUUCGUAGUAUACUUGUCUAUAAGCUUUGUUUCUGUGUGCUUUUAUAGAAUUGUGAUGCUUAUAGGGAGUUUUAUGGAUUGGAAAUUUAGAUUAGUUAAUGAAACCAUUGAAGUUUAUUUGUUUUGUUAUAGCUGAGGCUGUGCCUGGAUCAGCAGCUUGGUUAGGCCGGGGUCUUUCUUGUGUUUGUGCUCAGAGAAGAGAUAGUGACGCAAAUUCUACGUUUGAUCUAACACCUGCUCAGGUAUUCAGUUUUUCACUGUUCGAGUUGGAAGUUUAUAUUUUAUUAUUUCCUACAUUAAGAUAACGUUUCUGUCCUCGCUAUAUUAGCUGGCUACUUCUAAGCGUAUCCAGGUAUACUUAUACCCUAUUGUUGGGACAUGCAGGAGGAAUCCUUGCAGAACUUGCAGAACCGCAUUGACGUAGCUUAUGAUAGCACAAUACCCUUGCAUCAGGUACAACUUCCUUGCGGGUUUAUAAGCCUUUAGAAUUUCUCAUUAAAACAGUUGACUUAAACCAUCAUUUGGACAUGGUAGAAUACUGCAUCUUUUCAUCCCUUGGCUUUUUUACUAUUAGCUAGCAUCAUAAAUUCAAAUGUACCAGCUUUGAUGAUUACUUUGUUGCUUCGUCAUACGCUCUUAGGAAGCGCUGAGGGAUCUGUGGAAACUUGCCUUUCCUGAAGAAGAGCUUCAUGGAUUAAUAUCUGAGCAGUGGAAAGAGAUGGGUUGGCAGGGCAAAGAUCCGUCAACAGAUUUUAGGUAUAACACUGACUUUCCUCUUCAUUUGUGUUAUAGUUAUUUCUUGUAUCUAUUUUCUCUUUGACAAUGCAUCAUCUGGCAGGGGUGGUGGUCUCAUAUCUCUUGAAAACUUGCUGUACUUUGCUAGGAACUUUCAGGUAUACCUAUAUACUACAUAUACAAAUGUUUUAUGAAAAGAAUGAGCUGCCUUUCCUUUAUAACUUUUACUUUCCAUGCACCAUAUAUUAUCGAUUACUCAUUGGCACUGCUUCACUUGUAUAUAUAUAUAUAUAUGUAUUCAUGCGUAAAGUCACGUAUGAUAUUUAUACCCGAUAACUCAUUUGUUACAGUUGUUCAUGACUUUACAUCUUAGUUCUUGCUGAUCUACUUUUGUCACUUAGUUCAAACGCCACGUGUCUUUAUGCUGCAGAAAUCCUUCCAGGACCUUCUGAGGAAACAGGUUGGGGAUCGGUCUGUGUGGGAAUACCCCUUUGCUGUUGCUGGUAUCAACUUAACAUUCAUGCUCAUCCAAAUGCUUGACCUUGAAGCAGGUAUACAUCCACAUGAAUUUACUUACCUACCAUGAUUCAUGAUUGUGAUAGUUGCUAUUUACCUACCAUGAUUCAUGAUUGUGAUAGUUGCUAUUUACAUCUGAAGCCAUAGGAUUGGGAAGCCCAUAACUACUAUAGAAUCUUCUUGCAUGCAUUAGGCAGCUGUCUCGUAUUGUUCAUAGUCUGUCAUUCUGAUAAUGAGUAAUGUAUUGAGGUAAUCAAUGGGUUCUCUGACAACUUAUCCUUUUAAAAUUUACAGUGAAACCACGAACAAUUGUUGGGGCAACUUUUCUGAAGUUUCUUUCUGGUAAUCUCUCACUUAUGCUGUUUUGUUUUCAUCAAAUUGAAAAGCCUUUUUAUUACACAUGGUCCUUUAAUCUGAUUUUGACACUGAAUGUGUUGGGUGUUUGUGUAAGCAGAGAACGAAUCUGCAUUUGACCUUCUUUAUUGCAUUGCAUUCAAGCUAAUGGAUCAGCAAUGGCUUUCAAUGCGCGCCUCAUACAUGGAGUUUAACGUAAGUAGUAGUGGUUACAAAACAGAGACAUUAGUUUGGUCAUAUAUACAAUACAUACCAAGAUGCCAUGUUGAUGCUUUGUCUUGGAAUAUUUGGAUGACACAGACGGUGAUGAAAUCAACAAGGAGACAGUUGGAGAGAGAGCUGAUGCUGGAAGACAUAAUGCAUCUUGAGGACUUACCCUCCUACGCUCUUCUCAAUCAAUAGCCUUUACGAUAAUAAUAAAUAGCAAGAAGAGUUUCUAACCUCAGAAUAACACAAGGCUGCGCUGCUUCUGCCUCUUUCUUUGACCUUUUCUUGUGUUUGGUGGUUCUACUUCUAAGUAACAACUCCAAAACCGAGUUGUUACUUGUUAUAUUAAAACAAGAAAUAGAGUGUGAAAGAGAGAGAGGUUGGGAUAAAUCUCAAUUUGGUUUGGUUGCAAAUGAGUGUGUAGCUGAAAUGGGUUUGUUUUCUAACAACGUUGAGGUUUUUUAGUUACUGUGUGAGUGAUUGAUGUUAGUGUGUGGGGGAUAAUAAUGAUUUGGUGAUGUCCACAAAUUCAAAAGCAGUCACUGUUAAAGGACUCUUAACAGGGGUUAAAACUUCAUUUGUUUGUGUAUUAAAAGUUGUUUUGAUUGUUUAUUGCUGUGAAUAUUUGUGCGUGGAUAACAGCAGAGAUGGCCUUUACAAGCAGUCAACAGAAUUAUUCGAUAGCAACAAAAUUAUUAGAUCUACAAGCCUACUACAAUCAACUCGCUUAUAGUCUAGAUUCUUCUUACACUCGUGACUAACUGAUAGAUAAUUUGAUAUUAUCAGAAAACUGAUUAGCUGUCACUAAUCUGUUAAAUUCACUUAAUUUACACAAUAAUCAUGUCGAAUACGAAUGGCUGACUGGCUCACACAAAAGCAAAAACUGGCUCCAACCCUUAAUUCAUUAUCCAUACAUUGCAAGCCAACACCAACGACUUCCCGACCACCACGUAGCUUAUUAGUCCGCUUGAUGCAUCAUUUGUGUGGAGGUGGUGGGGGUGGCGUGGUUGACCCUGAAUCGGCUUCGUGUGUUCCAUCAGCCGGCGGCGAUUCUGGGGUGGGAGGAGAGGAAGGGGAGGCUACGACCGUAAUGGCUAGCUUCAUGCCACCUAGACAGUUACCAGGUGUAGAACAGAUGAAAUACUUUGGUUCUACUGUCUUCAGAUCGAUUUUGGUGUCUCCUUCGGAGUGGUUCUCAGUCGCAGCCAUCAUAUCCGGCUUUGUUAACCACGUCCACCGAAUAUGUACAGGCCCGUACUUGAACUCUGUUUCAAACCGUUAUUAAAGAUUAUCAUUAGCAACUUCGUUAAAACGAAACAGAGUUUUCUUGUGCAAUAAGUUAUAAUAUAUACUAGUUAAAAAGAAACAGAGUUUUCUUGUGCAAUAAGUUAUAAUAUAUACUAGAGUAUCACCAAUCCUGAAAGUCUUUCCCGCAGCCCGAUCUGUAUAGUCCACGCCACUGGCCCAUUGACCAACGUCUCCUACCUUGUAAGUCACAGCGACUACAGCUGCUGUUAAAUUUGGGCUAAUUCUGGGCUUCCAACUAAAAACCAAUUGGCAAUUAGUGGAUUGGCCCUAACCCUUUAUAUAUUAUUGAUUGUCCCAUCAAACUUCCGAUGUGGGACUUGGAUUGUAUCUCCAACAGCUGCAACCAUCUUGGGCAAAACAAUUCAUUGCCAUGUUUUGGUUUGAAUGUGGAGAGAUAUCUUAAUUGAAGAUGGUUAAUAAGAGGUGGAAAGAUGGUGAUGGUUUAUAUACCAAAUGUAGGCGUGAGAAUCGACUAAUGAGAAAUUAAGCUUAAUUAAGGGAAUGUGUGAAAAGUCGCGUAGUUUGAGUGAUGUCCUAAAGGUCACUCUUGAUUAGGGGUCAAAUUCCAUUGGCAUUGCCUUGUGGUUUGUGUUCUACACAUCUUUUCUCAUGUGUUUAAAAUUUGGAUACGGAUUAAAGUUGUGAUUGACCAAGUACAUGAAUUUGGUCAUGCAAAGUUCUAAUUUCUUUUUGCUAAUCAUAUUUAUUGACAUGAAAACUCCACAUAAACAAGAGAUCACUUGUUCUUAGAAUGCUCUUUCACUCGGGUAAUCUGCGACAAGAUUCUGUCCAGGCUUGGUUUGCCACUGGUUUUGUUCGCAACCUGGGAUUCUCUGCUUCAAUGGACAAAGGCUCAGACCAGUUCCUCUCCUCCUACGCUUCGUCUUAUAAUUCUCCAUGCCUUGGUCUACUCGGUUUGGAGGCAGAGGAACAAUCUAAUCCAUAAUCAGAUUUUGAUCCCUCCGCUUAACAUCUUCAGAGAUAUUGACCGGCAGAUUAUCAAUAACAUCACAGCCAGAAAGCAUAUGAAGAAGUUUCGUAAUCUUAUAGGGCUCUGGUUGUACUAAGGGUCUCUUGUUUGUCUUCUAAAUCGUUACUGCUAGAAUUUGUGGUUUGUGUUUUGUUUUUUACUCCUUUUUUGCCAAAGCCCAAAGUAUAUAGGCCUUGUUUGUAAUGCCUACAUUUCAUUUUAAUGAUAUUUACUCAUUUUGUAAAAAAUCCAAUGCUACCGUGUCUCUCUUUUUGAGCUUCUCAUGUCUUUUUUUAUUUUAUUUUUAUUUUACAUAAUAUAAAGUCUUUAACAAUAUUUUUGUUAGAAGAAAAAAACGAACACCUAAUUUUGCCAUCAAUAUGAGGUUUCGACUUUUAUGAGUUCGGCCCAAAAUUGUUCAAAUAACCAUUAAAAAUAAUAAUUGCAAUAUACACAUAUCUAGAGUUUUAAAGUUAAAAGCUACAGAUUGACAAAAAAAAAAAAGUUAAAAGCUACAGCUAAUCGAAUACUACCUAUCCCUUUUUUUUUUGUCAUCUGUUAGUAUAUUUAUAUUGAAGAUGUAACCAACGAAUUACAAACUCAAAAGCUGCAACUUGAGACAAACCAAAGAACCAAAAAAUACUAAGCAGGCCUUUAUAGAAACAGGCCUUUACAAAAAACCUUCCAAUACUAGGAACCCGACUGCUGCACAAAAAGCCCAAAACAGAGGACUAGACUCUCUCAUCAAAAAACACAGAAAAUAACCAAAUCGGAUGACUAACUGCAACAUACGACUGUAACCGGCAAUCUCUAGUGACACUUUUAGCAAUGAGAGAGGCUCCUCUAUUGGCUAAAUUUUCUUCUAACACAAAUCUCCAAUCUUGAAUCACCCUAAGCAAAGAAAGCAGUUCAAAGGAUUGAUACCUGAAGGAAGGCCACGCAUUUGGCCUAAGAACCGCUCCUAUUAAUUCCUCAUUUUCCAGAGCAAAGAACACUUUGUUAACUCUAUGGCUUAUCAUACAUUCCAAAGCCCAAACAACACUUAACCAUUUUGCUUCAUCCCUAGAUCUGAUGUUUGUAAAAGCUCUCCUGCUAUGAAGCAAAACCUCACCCUUGUCAUCUCUAAGCACCCAAGCACAACCAACCAGAAAAUUCCUUUUAGACCAUGCCAUACCCACANNNNNNNNNNNNNNNNNNNNNNNNNNNNNNNNNNNNNNNNNNNNNNNNNNNNNNNNNNNNNNNNNNNNNNNNNNNNNNNNNNNNNNNNNNNNNNNNNNNNNNNNNNNNNNNNNNNNNNNNNNNNNNNNNNNNNNNNNNNNNNNNNNNNNNNNNNNNNNNNNNNNNNNNNNNNNNNNNNNNNNNNNNNNNNNNNNNNNNNNNNNNNNNNNNNNNNNNNNNNNNNNNNNNNNNNNNNNNNNNNNNNNNNNNNNNNNNNNNNNNNNNNNNNNNNNNNNNNNNNNNNNNNNNNNNNNNNNNNNNNNNNNNNNNNNNNNNNNNNNNNNNNNNNNNNNNNNNNNNNNNNNNNNNNNNNNNNNNNNNNNNNNNNNNAAGAGCCCAAAUCUGUCUAGAUAAAGAACAUGUGGACAAAACAUGUUCAAUAGAUUCUCCUUCAAAACCACAUGUUUGGCAUCUAGGAUCCGUCUUCAUACCUCUCUUCGCUAGUUUAUCAGCCACAGGUAGGGCACCACUUAGUACUUUCCAAAGAAAGACUUUGAUCUUUGGAUCUGUAUUCAAUUUCCAAACCUGUUCUUUCAAAGGAUUAAUUGAAGGAAGGAAAGAAGCAUGUUGCAUCACUUCAGUUUUGUUGUUCUCGACAGCUAACCAAUAAGCUGACUUCACCGAGAGGAAGCCGCUUUUGUUAUAUCUCCAAAUCCAAAAAUCUUGAGAGUCAACCACAGGUUUAACCUUUCUAAUAAUGGCAACAUCAUCAGGGAAAAACAGUUCCUCUAACUUGUCAAUGUCCCAAUCUUUCCUUUCAAAAUCUAUGAGCUCACUCACUUUAAGGCCCGGAUCAAUAAAAAGAUUUCUAAUCCAAGGAGCUCUUAGACCAUCCUCAUCAACCAUCCACCUAUCCACCCAAACCGUCAAGGAAGCACCAUUUCCAACCCUUUUCUGCAGACCUUUGUUAAGCAAAUCCCUGCCAUGGAGAAUGCUUCUCCAACCAAAAGAAGGACGCUGUCCUAAACACGCAUCAAGGAAAUGGCCAUCAGGAAAAUACCUGUUUUUCAUCACUCUUGAGAACAAACAAUCUGGGAAAUGCAAGAUUCUCCACGCCUGUUUUGCCAGCAAGGCUUGGUUAAAGAGCUGAAUGUCCUUGAAACCCAAACCACCUUUAUCUUUUGGUAAGCACAGCUUUUCCCAACUUAUCCAAUGAAUUUUCCUAUUAUGUUCAAGAGAACUCCACCAGAAUUCUGCCAUUGCACUCGAGAGAUUUGAGCAAGAAGUCUUUGGUAAUCUAAAACAAGACAUCGCAAACACAGGCAUGGCUAAGGCAACCGAUUUCAACAAAAUCUCUUUGCCUCCUUGAGACAGAAACUUAGAGUACCAACCAGAAAGCUUAGACUUGAGGCGAUCUUUGAUAUAAUCUAACAUUUCCACUUUUGAGCCACUAAAACACUCUGGUAGACCUAAGUAAGUCCCUGCUCCCCCCACAUUUUGGAUACCAAGAGAUUCCUGAAUGCAAAGCUUAAUGUUUUCAGUUACCUUAGAUCCAAAAGUAAUCGAAGACUUUGUGUGAUUGAUAGUUUGCCCUGUAGCAGCUCCAUAAACCUCCAAAAUCUUCUUCAACACCAAGCACUGAUCUUGAUUAGCCUUACAAAGAAAAAGGCUAUCAUCGGCAAAAAGUAGAUGUGUAAUGGAUGGACCUCCUUCAUUGAACUGAAUACCACUAAUCAGACCAUUUCUUUGAACAACAUUCAACAGGUAAGACAGACCUUCAGUGCAUAAUACAAAAAGAAAGGAGGAUAAGGGAUCCCCUUGUCUAAGCCCUCUUUGGGGAACCACCAUACCAAAGGGUUGGUCAUUUAUUAAAACUGAGUAAGUCACAGACGAUACACAAAACAUUACCCAGUUAAUCCAUCUUUCAUGAAAACCCAAAGCAGCCAGCAAAGAUCUCAAGUAACACCACUCCACUCGGUCAUAAGCUUUUGACAUAUCGGACUUUACUGCCAUAAACUCAGCAGAAAUAGCCGAAUGAGCAUUUAAACCAUGAACUAAUUCAUGAGCAACCAAAAUAUUAUCAGAAAUGAGUCUUUCAGAAACAAAAGCAGUUUGUGACUCAGAAACCAAACAAGGAAGAAACGGUUGCAGCCUCUUAACCAUCACUUUGGAGAUAAUCUUGUAUAAUACCGAGCACAGGCUGAUCGGUCUGAGAUCACUCAUUUCAGUCGGAUGAGGGAUUUUUGGUAAAAGACAAAGAUGAGUAUAGUUCCACUCCGAUGGAAAAACUCCAGAAACAAAAAACUGUCUAACCUCACAGCACACCUGCUUCCCAACAGUAUACCAGUAGUGUUGGAAAAACAAAGAAGACAUACCAUCAGCCCCCGGGGCGCUUGAAGGUUUAAUGGAGAAAACUGCUGCCUUAAUUUCUUCAUCAGAGACUUCUUUUACCAGACUGUUGUUCAUUUCUUCAGUGACACGAGGUUGAAACCCAAAAAACCAACUGGAGAAGCUGGCAGGAUUAGAAGAAGAGAAAAGCUUCUGAAAAUAAGCACAUGCUACUUCACCUUUAGCAGCUUCCGACUUUUGGAGAUUACCAUUAAUAUCCACUAGCUUUUCAAUUCUCUUCUUUGCUCUGUUUCCUUUGACUGUUGCAUGGAAAAACUUAGUGUUUCUUUCACCACAUCUCAUCCAUUUCGCUCUACUCUUCUGAUUCCAGAAAAUUUCCUCUUCUUUGUAAGCGAAAGACAGUUCUUUUUUCAGAAAAUGAACAUGAUUCAAGGUAGGAAGAGAGGAAGACUGUUCUAUCUCAAGAGCCUUUUCCAUCUGUUGGAUCUUAUCAUUAGCAUUGGUGCAGUUAGUCUUCUUCCAAGCACUUAAGGCCUUCCUAACAGCCCUCAAUCUAUCAGCCACAGAAGCUAAAGAUAUAGGGGAAUCAGGUCUCCAUGCACGGAUCACAGCUUCUUCAACCUUUGGUUUAUACAGAAACCUCUUGUCAAAUCUGAAUUGUCCCCUAUAAGUAUCCUGCGAAGAAAGCAACUUCAACAACACAGGCCUAUGGUCAGAUCCUCUGAAAUCCAAAAAGGUUUGGUUUGACACUGGAAAUUGAGCAAACCAAUUUUUAUUACCAAAAACUCUGUCAAGCCUACUCUGAAUCCAUAAAUCAUAUCUUUUUCCAGCCCAAGUAAAACUGUUUCCUUGACUGGGUAACUCCUCCAUGUUACACGCUCUUAGCAUCUCAGAGAAAGGCUUAAAGUAAGAGUCACACCUCCUAGGGCCACCAAGCUUUUCACCAUUGUGAAGAAUAUCAUUAAAAUCCCCCAACAUACACCAACCGUCUCUUCUUCCAACCCCUAUUCUACUAAGUCUUUCCCACACCAAUUGUCUUUUCUUAAAAUACUACCUAUCCCAAGUUGCAUUUGUUUAUAUAUCUUUUAAAUCACUAACAACUACAGUUUGAAUAUAUGCAUUGCUAAAUGCUAACAAUCAUUUCUUUUACGAAUUGAUCAUUUCUCUUGGUUGUUGAUUGAGCUUAUUACAUAAUUCAUUCUUGAUAACAUAUAUAUUAAAAUUAAACUAACUAAUCUACACAAUCUAUAUAGUCAUUGUAAACUAUGAGGGGAUGGUGGAUCACAACUGUACAUGUGGUUCCACACGAACGAAAAAUGAAAGGAGAAAUUAAGUAAUAAUUUAUUACAGCAAUAAGUGAGUAAUGUGAUGAUGAUAACGAUAAUCAAAUGCCGAAUAAUAAAAUCCUACGAAUAAUGAAGAGCUUCUGACGUAUCACACAUACCCAAAUUCUCUUACAACCAAAGACCAAAAUAAUUUAAAAAGCAAAAGCACUGACUCCACCCUGGCUCACUAAACCAAUUACAUCCACAAAGCAUAACCCAAAACCAUCGAGACUCCGACCAAAACGUAACUCAUCACUCCCUUUGACGCACCACUUGGCUUUGGUGGAGGAGGAGAAGUUGACCCUGAAUCAGGUGUGGGUGUGGUGGGUGAUCCGCCAGCCGGAGGUGAGUCCGGUGUGGUAGGAGUUCCCGGAGUUGUAGACGGUGGCGUGGGAGUUCCCGGAGUUGAAGACGGGGGCGUGGGAGUGGCCGGAGGUCCGGCAGAGGCGGCUAAGACAGUAGCGGCUAGCUUCAUGCCAUUGGCACAAUGACCAGGUGUAGGACAGAUGAAAUACUUUAGGAAUGGUUCUCAGUCGAGGAGGAGGCGUCGCAGCCAUCAUAUCCGGCUUUGUCAACCUCAUCCACCGAGUGUGAUCGACCAUACUUGAACUCUGUUUCAAAUCGCCAUAAAAAGAAUUCAAAACCUAAGUAAAUAGUUAUGCCAUACCUAAGAAGAUUAUGGGACAAUAGUCCGAAAUUAUUUGGUUACUAAAAAUGAGUUUUGUUGUAGAAUAAGUUAUCUCAAUUUCAACAUCGUAUAAAUUUGUAAAGAACUAAAACAAGUAAAGAAUUGUUUCUUGUCUUCUUCUUUUUUUUUUAACUGUUUCUAUAUUUAAGAACCUGAGACCAAAUAAACAAAAAAAAUCACACAUAUUUUCCUUUUUUUUUUGGUAUUACUAAAGCAAACUUAAUAUAAUUUGAAUCACCAAAACCAAUACCGUGUCAAACUACACUUGGGUUCGACUACGUUACUACAACUUUUGAACUAUAGCUUGAAUGAAUCUAUAUAUAAAUAAAAGUUAUAACUAAUGUGGUUCGGAUGAUGGUUUACCUAGAAUGUCACCAACCCUGAAAGUCUUUCCGGCAACCCAAACUGUGUAGUCCACACCACUGUCCCAUUGUUGACCGUCUCCCACCGUGUAAGUCACAGCUACUGUGGCCGGGACAAUGGUCAGGACUAGGAGAAGAGCAGUUGCGGCGGCUGCAGCCAUCUUGGACAAACCAUUCAUUGCCAUUUUUUUACUUAGAAGAGAGAUAUUAUUAUUGUUAAGGUUGUGCAGAGAAGAAAUGGUUAUGGUGUCAUUAUAUAACAAAGAGAUGUGAGAAGGACUUUGGGAAUUAAGUAAAUGGAAUGUAUGAAAAAGUCGCCGCCUCGCCAACUCAUUCAACAACUUCAUCCUCACUUUUUAUUUUUCGUUUUAAUUUUUUAUUCAUUUCUUUUGUUUUAAUACGUUGUCAUGAUGCGUAACAACUCUUUGUUCUUAUACAUUUAAACUAAAAAAAAUGGAUAAUUAAUCGUAUAGCUCGAUGGCUUUCUUUGAUGUAAAUUAUAUAAACCCAUCACCCUUAUGAGUUAUGCGUGGAUUCUUCUUAUUUGGUUUUUUUACCGAAAAGUGUGCUGAGAACAUGGGUUUGUUAAUAUGACUAUAUAGUGUAAGUAUGAUCCAAAUAAUGUAUAUGAUCAUAUGUAUUUAUUACUCCCUCUGUUUUUUUUAAGUUGUCGUUUUAACUGUAUUUGGACAAAUUAAGAAAAGGUAUACNNNNNNNNNNNNNNNNNNNNNNNNNNNNNNNNNNNNNNNNNNNNNNNNNNNNNNNNNNNNNNNNNNNNNNNNNNNNNNNNNNNNNNNNNNNNNNNNNNNNUGACUAUAUUAACCUCAUAAAAAUGACAAGUAAUUAUUUACAAAUAAUUUGUGUUCAAUAAAAUGAGGGUAAUUUGGGUAGUUAUUGGCAUAAAUUACAUUAUUACCUUAAAACGACAACUAAUUUAAAACAAAAAAAAAACUGUAAAACGACAACUAUUCGAAAACGGAGGGAGUAGUUGACAAAAAAAUUGUAUUGUAUUUGGUACUUAAUUAACAUGUUAUAGAUUCUGCAGGUGCCAAGAUUCCUUAAUUUGUAGCAAAAGAUCAGCUACAAUUCAAAUUUUUUUUUCUUUCUGAAAACAAUUAUUUUCAUGUAUUUACUCAAAAAAAAUUCAAAUCUAUGAGUUCAUAUAUAUAGUAUUUUUUUUUUAGUUUUUAAUUUGUUGAUGUCUAAUUGGCAUUGUUAUAUAUUUAAGAUAUUUCCCACCCAAAAACAAUUUUUUAUUUCUUAUAUUACAUUUUAUGGAGGUUUUGUGUGGAUAAGUUUGUAGGUUUGAACAAGAUUUAUUUGUUGAAUCGCACAAAAUACAUGAAAGCUUUUUAUGAACAAAAUCUCAUUAUUGAAUAAAUGGAAGUUUGUUUGGUGCAAUUAGCAAGGUGUUGACCAUUGACUAAGUUCCAUAUUCAAAAGUUGUCAGAUUGGAAAAAAUUGUCGAAGGCAUUGGGUCAGAUUAAUUGCACAGAAAAAAAAAAGAUGAACAGAGAUAUUCGAAAUCACAUCCUAACUCUUUAAGAAAAAGAAAAAAAAUGUUAUAAAAUUGGAGAUUAGGUAAUAUGAUAAUAGUAGGAAGAUGCCUAACACGUUCUAAGGCCAUUCUAAUAUGUAUAUAUUUGUCAAUGAUCAAAGAUGGGUAUAGAUGUUAGGUGAAACAAAUCUUUACAAUAUUCGAAAAGAUGAAUACAUACGAAAAAAACAACAAUUUUGAUAAGUAACUCGUAUAUAAAAGCGAAAUGGUCAAUGAUAGAACAAGAACCAAAUAGUAUAAUCACUAAGCUAUUAAUUUAUUUGACCAAAACAUUAAACAUAUUUUAGGAGAUCGGAAGAAAGAACAGAAUUCAGAGGUGGCUUCUAGAGGCGGCUCAGACUAGAGCGUGCCAUGUUGAGCUUUGAUAAUCAUUAUCGUGUCAUGCAAAAAUCCCAAAUGGUGAGACAAAACUGUAUUACAAGUAGUUACAACAACAACCCAAAGAGGAACCAAAACCUAAAGACUAUUAGCUUCAAAGGAGGGGAAAAAAAAACUUAAAAGAAUAGGUACCAUAUGUUAUUUUUUAAUUACAACUAAAUAUACAUUGAAUAGAUGUUUGAAUUAAUGUUUUUUUUUUAAAAAAAAUUGUUCUGUUUAACCACGUUUGCAAAUAAUUACUUUAGAAAAGUAGUAUUUUUUUGGUCCAGAUAUUUCCAUGACAGAUACAUAGUCUUGUUAAGAUAUGCACGUCAAUGACAAAAUAUUCAAAAUUGACCCUUAAACCGUCGUCGGAAAAUCGAAACUUUUUAUAAUCCACUUUUGAUUACUAUAUUACUAAAAGCUUCCUUGUAUAUGAAAUGAAAUGAUCCAAUUAUGAAAGCAUUUACAGAUUGUAGAAGAUAACUAAACUACUUCACAUUGUCAAGUUCCAACUUCCAAGCCCGUUAUCAUAAAUUUGGGCCUGUUACUCUUCGGCCCAUAACGUCAAAGAAAUUGGCUUAUCCAGCCGACAUGGUAUCCAACCAACUGCUUAAGCCAGAAGUACUUAAUAUAUUGACUGUUGAGCUUAGAAACAAAAAAGAAGCACUUAAUAGAAGUUUAAAUUCAAAUUUAGAAAACAAUUAAAAAUAAAUAAUCUACUCUCUAGUCUCCAAUGUCACAUUACUAGUUUCUCUCUCUCUCCUCCUCCAAUGCUAGAGGAACUCAAUCACCUUCGACAAAAGGAAAAACCAACUCAUAGAUCUUUUUGUAUUUGUACAGAUACAUUUUAACAUGCUUAAAAACCGUUUAUUAAUACUUAUAUACUAUUGAAUAAAAUGAUGCAACAUGAAUCUCGACCCAUAUUCAUCCUCAUAAAUGACGUCAACACACACAGUGACACAGAAAUAUGUUAUUUUCUUUUUUGCCUUAAAAGUGGAAACCAAAAUAUCUUAAUGGCGGUAAAUCCAGUCCAGACAGAGGAAUACGUUACCAGCCUGAUCCGAUGAAAAGACGAUUUUGCCCCUGAACACGAAUUCUGUUAAGCUAGUCACCGGUCUAUUGAAACUGUCAUAUGGACUACUAAAUGUAUAAAAAGAUGCAAGACGUGUGUGUCCCCAUUCACUUUUAUAUACUAAUUCACAGCAUAUCCACAAUUUGAUCUGUCACACUUCAUUUAAUGUUAAAGAUGAACAGAAGCUGCAGGAGGUUUCCAAUACCGUAAGCAAACUAGGAAAAAAUAAAAAUUAAAAAAAUUGGGAUAUUAUCUUUCUAGAAGAAUUUUUAACAAGUAUAAAUAUACGCUAUGCAUGUUGCAUACUCUUUAGUAGUAGUACUAAAUAAACAAAGAGCAAAGAAAGAAAGAAAAUCAUUUUAAGCAAACAAACAAAUAAUGGAGGAAACGAAUAAGAGUUUGCUUGAUGAUUCUUUUACAAGUGCAAUGACACUUACCAAUUCAGGUGUGCCUCAAGUCCCUGAUCGUUACGUUCUUCCCCCUUCGCAAAGGCCAGCUCUUGGUUCAAGCUUAGGCACCACUGAGACAACACUUCCUGUCAUUGAUCUCUCUCUUCUAAACCAACCUCUGCUUAGAUCCCGCGCAAUCCACGAGAUUAGCAUGGCCUGCAAGGAGUUUGGUUUCUUUCAGGUAAAUAAGUCAUGCUUUAUCAAAAAUCCAGCAAGUUUGGUGUUUAUUUCGUGAAAAUUAUUCCUCACUUUCAUCAAAAUUCAGUCCAAUCACAUCUACCAAUCACACUUCGGAUAUGACUUGGAAAGUCGGCUUUUGUUUCCUUGCAUUUAUGUCAUAGGAAUAAAGCCCCUGAUCAGGGCAAACAAUAAAAGAAAAGACAAAAUCCUCAAUCUUAGUCUUAAAUGAGAACACAAGUUGCAUGCAUGCAUGUUUUCUCUACUCUGUACAAAACUAAGAGAUAAAGGCCCUAACUUUUACUUCCCUACAGGUUAGAAACCAUGGAAUACCAUCAUCAGUGGUUAAAGAUGCCUUUGAUGCAGCAACACAGUUCUUUGACUUACCUGUGGAGGAGAAGAUGCUUCUGGUGUCUGCAAAUGUUCAUGAGCCAGUAAGGUAUGGCACAAGCCUUAACCAUUCCACAGACAGAGUUCACUACUGGAGAGAUUUCAUCAAGCAUUACUCUCAUCCACUCUCAAAGUGGAUCAAUAUGUGGCCAUCAAAUCCUCCAUGCUACAAGUAAGUAAAACAUACUUUUAGGCCAGCUUCAGUAUCUCAAAAUUUACAAAAGCUAGCUCUCUUUGGAAAGAGUUGUAAGAAAUCUUUGAGUGAAAACUGAUAUUAUUUUCUGAUUUACUCCUUCCUUUCAGGGAUAAAGUGGGCAAGUAUGCAGAGGCAACACAUGUGCUACAUAAGCAAUUAAUAGAAGCUAUCUCAGAAAGCCUGGGACUGGAGAAAAAUUACUUACAAGAAGAGAUUGAAGGAGGCUCACAAGUCAUGGCAGUGAACUGUUAUCCAGCAUGUCCGGAACCUGAAAUCGCCUUGGGAAUGCCACCACACUCAGACUUCAGCUCACUGACCAUAUUACUUCAAAGUAGCCAGGGACUCCAGAUAAUGGACUGCAACAAAAACUGGGUUUGUGUGCCGUAUAUCGAAGGAGCUUUGAUAGUUCAGCUGGGAGAUCAGGUAGAAGUGAUGAGCAACGGCAUAUACAAGAGCGUCAUUCAUCGUGUAACAGUGAACAAAGAUGUCAAAAGGCUAUCUUUUGCAAGUCUUCACAGUCUACCUCUGCACAAGAAAAUAAGUCCAGCACCGAAACUCGUCAACGCAAACAAUACACCUGCCUACGGAGAGUUUAGUUUCAACGAUUUUCUUGACUACAUCUCAAGCAACGAUUUUAUACAAGAAAGAUUCAUUGAUACAAUAAAGAAGAGCAGUUCCUGAAGAUGAUGGCAAAGAAUGCCACAGAAUUCAACAAGGCAAUUUGCAUGGCUCAGUCUUUUGAAUUAAGUUUACGAUUAUGGAUAUUGUAGUCCUUAUCUGCAUCCCUGAUGUAUCUACUCUAUGUAACAUUAUGAAAAUUAUAACGAAACAGCAACCAAGUAAAUGUUGUGCAUGUAAACAGAUAACCCCAUUGUUUAUAUCACAGAAAAAGCUUAAUGUAAUGUCAUAAAAAAAUACUCUUUCUCUUUACCCAAGCAGUGAUUCUAAUAUAUAUCCAAUUCUUAAAGGAUCUCUGUUUCUUUUGGGUUUAUAAAAGAUUUAGAAGCACAAGUAGUUCAUAAUUUGAGCUUAAGACGUAACUGUGUUUGAUUAAUGUAAGCAGCAUCAACAAAGUGCUUAUAUGAAUCACUAGAAACCAUUAUUGAAACACAUGGAUAAACCACAAAUCUACAAUUGGUAUUAUCAAAAUUGAGACAAAAUACGCGAAAUUUUCACCAGUAUAUUCGAAUUCUCACUAACCAUAAACAACUUGAACGCUUUAGGAAUUCAAUUAUCAAUUGUCGAUCAAACCAAUCAUCCAAAGUCUAUCGAAUUUCUUAAAGCAUGAUGGGAUCGAUACUUACAAAAGAUCCUCCGGAGACUAAUCAACGUCGCGCGUCAUUUUCCGUUAAGCUCUCUAACUACGGCCGCCUUGGCCUCUCGAUUCCGGCGGCUACUUCUCGUCGCCAAGGAGCUCUUCUUUUUUUUUUUCCCCCCCGGUAUUAUCGAGUAAUUUCUUUUUAACCGUACUUACUUUAUCAUUUACCGUAGCUUUUUUUGUCGGCUAUCUCUUUUACUUUACCACAACUAGUCUUUUUUUACCCGAACCACGAAUAAUUUUGCUGAACAUCUAUAAUUAACUGUAAUCUGUUGUCAAAAAAAAUACUAUACUUUAUCAUUACGAAUAAGUUUCGAACGAUAAUAUUCUUUACCUUACACUAAGAUAUCAACGGCCUAUUUGCAGUAGAAAAAUUGGCUUCAACAUAUAGACAACAUUGUUAAAAGUAAAUAAAAAUUACAGUCGUCAUAAUUAAUAACACUGGUGUUGUAUAAUCAAUCUCUCGACGAUGGGAUAAAUCAAGCCUUUUUUCUAAAUUUGGCUUACUUUAGAAGGUAGAAUCUCUGUGAUACAUUAAUGUGAAUAAGUGAUAAAUCAAGCGUGUAUAAAAAAAUUUUUUGGCUUAACUUAUAUAACAAUAAGUCAAUAACUCUGAUCACUUGGGCUUGCAAAUAUGUUACUGCAUGAAAAUCUAUUAAUAUUAAUUCACACACUGCGUGUAGUAAGAAGUCAAAAACAACCAAAUUAACCAUAUAUAAUUAGCUGUUAAGUUUUCCUUCUCAAAAUCAGUUUUUUUGGCAAAGACUAUAAUAUAAAUACAAGAGAAUUCAUAAACUAAAACAUCUACGAUGAGGGGAAAACAUUAUACUAAAAUAUGUUAUUCCAAAUUCCGAAAACAAAUUACAACCUUAAUAACAUUCUUGCAUUUUAAAUCCACACUCAGUCUAAAACAAAAAUACUGAUUAAAAGUUUAAAACACUUUGCAAAACAUAAAAAUCACAUGUAGAACAUAAAAUCAUUUUGGCAUAAUUAAAAGAAGGAUCACAGAAAAACAAAAGAAGGAUACAUAUGCAUUUUCUUAACAAAUCAAUAUUAACUAACUUCAAUGAACCCCAAUAUACAUAAACAAAAAUUGGCAAAAAAAUAGCCAUUGCUCAAACUGCAAAUGCCAUAUACCAUUUUUUUUGCAAUAUCAGAUUUCACUUUUUGAAAAAAAAUAUUAAGAUAAUAUAUAUACACAUAAAUCCUUCCUUCUCUGAAACCCAUUUACUUAAUUAGAAGUUAGAACAUCAGUGAAAAUAUCGACCAUUUAUCUAAAGUUGGCUUACCUUGGUCUGAUCUCUUGGUUUUGCAAUGUAACUACAUGCAAGAAUAUCAAUUCACACACGGCGUGUAGAACGAAAAACAAAAUUUUGACCAUAAUUAGCUGUUAUAUUGCGUUAUCGAAAUCAGUUUACGGCGAAGACUAAACUAAAUACGAGACGAUUUCUAAACUAAAAAAUUUAGGACAAGGGGAGAAAAAGGAAAUUAAAAUCUGUAGUUCCAAAUUACGCAAAAAAAAAUUAAAACCCUUAAACUCCUUGCAUUUAAAAUGUACUAAAACAAAACUAUUGCUUUUUCACUUUGCAAAACAUAAAUAUCACGUAGAACAUAAAAUCAUAUUCGCGUAAAAAAAAGAUCAUAUUUAAAAGGAGGAACAUUAAAAGAAAAAUAACAAAUUAAAAGGAUGAAGUUUGUUGAAGCUAAGAUGCGAAAUCUCCAGCUCGGACGCAUUUGAGCAAGAGCAAUGUCUAAGUACGUACCUACAUGCAUUCAGUGAAUAUAAAUAUAUAUAUAUAUAUAUAUACUAGCUAGUCUUGAUCAUCAAUUUUCAAGAUAUAUGAAUAAUAUAUAAGAGCAAGGAAAUCAGCAGGCGUGCAUGAAAUCAGCAGGCGUGCAUGAAACUAUCUCGGUUUCAACGGCGCAUGAGUACACAAGUUGAACAAAAUCAGCUCAUGUUAUAUAUCAUGAAUGCGUUUUGGCAACAUUAUGCGUCAUUCCACCAAUAGAGUUGUUAUAAGCAUAAAAGGUCAAACAAAUUUUUUAAAGAACUUUUUGUAUUCGUAUGGUUUUUAUUUAUAGUUUAGCCCAUUUGCCACGGGGAAUCUGGUUCCAUACUUGCAUUAUAGUAUAUUUUAUGAUCUUUUAUACACACAAAACCGGAUAAAGAUUUCACAACUUGUAUCGCUUUUAUUUACUUACUUUGUUUGUUUCUGUACAUAAGAAAAAAUAGCUCCAAUUAAACUACUUUACAUAACUAUUAAUUACAUCCUACUUCACAUGUUAUAUUGUUAAUCCGAUAUACAAAGAAAUAAUUUUCAAAAACACGCUAGACACUAAGCGGGCAGUGAAGUGUCUAACGCGUAGAACGUCUAAUCGGAGUCUAAGCGAUUUUUUAGACGGUUUAGACGUUUAAUUAUAAUAUAAAACAUUAUAAAUAUGAUAUUAUAUAUAAAAGUUAUAUAAAAUAUCUAUAUAAAACAAAAAUUAUGAAAUUAUAAAUAAAAACUGGACAAAACAUUUAUUUAUAUUUAUAUUAAACUAUAUAUAAAUAAAACUCUAAUUGAAAUUAAAAAAAAAAUAUUAAACAAAAUCUAUGUAAUUUUAAACGGUCAAGAUGAUUAUCUAAAUGUCGCAUGAGAAUCUAGCGUCUAGUCGGAUCUAAACAACUGCCAAAAGACGGUUCAGGGGAGACGUAAGAGACAGCACAAGUUUUGUCUAUUUGGGUAAAAAAAUUAUAUAAAUACAAUUUAUGUCGUUUUGUAGACAGAACUUUAUAACAUGCAAAAGUGAGUAUUUAAUGUUUUUGACAUAGGCACCGCAUGUAGUAGAUUCUAUUUAUUUUGCUUUGUUUUAGAAUCUUUCCAAACAAGAAACAACGUACGAUACGAUGGUUUUGCGAAUACCACUGUCCAGGCAAGUACAACGGUCGUCAAACUUUUAACUAUACGGAGUAUCAUAAAUAAAAGUUAGCAAUUCAAUGGUCAGAGAAUAUUACUCAUUGUGCGAUCAAAUUCUUUGAACUCUGCUUUAUUUCCGAGUUCCUAAAAGUAAAAUCCUUAUCCACUUUGUUUCAUAACGACAAGAACGCAAGACAACGCGCCAUUUUAUUUUAUUGUUUUGUGUAGGUGAAGGAUUUUACACUAAUCUUUUGAAAUAUGUGAAAAAUUCAAAUUAAAUUAUUAACACGUUUAUGAAGAUGAAAUUGAAACGUAAUAAAUAAAUUGAAAGGAAUCAAACUCUACUAUAAACUCUUCAAAUAGCUUUCCAAUGAUUUUUCAGCAAAAAUAAAUUCUUAAUGAGGGUUAUCAUGAAAUGAUCCAUAUACAAGCUUUUUUUUUUGUUAAAACGGUUUUGGGUUUUCAUUAACUAAAAGACUAAAUGUUUAUGAAAAAGUGCUAACAAUAUUAUAAGUUUUCAAACGUUGCAAAUUUGCAUAUGAAAACGUUGGUGGUCAUGAGUGUAAACGCAUAUUUGUGGCUAAGUCUAUGUGUUCGAGUACGUAUAUGUUCGAGUCUGAGUAUGUAUGAGGAUAAAGUAAACGACACAAAGAGUUUGUUAACGGGGUUCGGUUUUUCCUACAUCCCCGGGACCUAGUCCAGAACAAAUCCACUAGAACAAGAUUGCAAUUACAAUUGAAUAUGAUAUCGAGCACUACUAUGCCUAUCAUUCUUUUCUAGAUGAAUAAACCACCAAUAGAUCUUACAUCAUAUCUGGUGGGGCGACGCCACACACCUUGUGUGCAUCUCUCGAGAAUACCAUGAGGCGCGCAAGUCUUCAUGAAGCGCCCUCUUGGUAUUUAUAACAAUUGCUCAACCCUAGAGUUGACAAUUUUCCUAUUCUACACUAAUAGGAAUUUUCUAUUCUACACCAAAAUAGGAAUUGACAAAUUUCCUUUUUCUUUAUGGACAAGAAAACUUUGUCUUCACGUUCUCAUCUUGAAUAUACUAUUCAAGAUGUUUAUCCAGCUCAGCAGACAUCUCUUGGCUUGUCCAAGUCGUCCCCAAACUUAUGUACUCCAACUCUUCAAAGCAGUGUCACAACUCAGCUUCCUGUAUUAAUGUCGGAACUAGUUCAAGAACUAUGUCAGACGUCAGAUACAUCCUUUGAUAUAUCAGACUGCUGGUUUCUUGAUUCAACACCAUAUAUUCUCUGGUUUGUGUCAAUCACAGUCACUUCCUCAAUUCAUCAAUCUCAUAAUAUUUUAGAUGGAUUAUAAAACUCAGUCAACACAACAUCUUCAAUGAGAUGUAGUUUGUUAAUUUGAUCCUAUUUGAAACAAAAUCACAUUUAUGGUUACGGUCGAUUCGAGUAACUUCGGCCGACCCUCUUAUAUUGGUUCAGAUUACCCUUUUUUUUUUUUUUUUUUUUGUUAAAGUGGUUCAGGUUACUAUGGUUAACAAGAACAAAAGAAGUGUACAUUUAAAUAUUAGUCUAUACAUUUGACUUUUUGUAUCUAAAUGGUUCAUGAUAUCGUAAUAUUCGUAAAUACAGUGGCGCAUCCUGCAACGAAUCCACCGGUGUUUAUUUAUGAGCUUUUAAUCCACCGUUUGUUGUAACUUGUAACAAUUUUAAAUAAUAGUGAUAAUAAAUCGGUGCUCUUUUCAUACAUGGAUUCAAAUAGCCAGCUGUUACAACUUAUACGAUCGGCCGAGGGAAAAAACAUAUUUUGUUGAUUCAGUUGGGCUAAGAAAAAAUCAAGUGGGCUACAGAUAAUCGAUGGGAGCCCAAAAGCUUGUUCACCUUUUGUUUUCAGAGGGGGAUCCAAUUGAUUUCUCACCGGUAAAAUAUCCAAGAGAGAUGUAUUUAAUCAAAAACAAAUUACCAAGUUUUUAUUUUUGAAAUGUAAAAAAUUAAUUAAUUAACAAAAAAAAAGAUAGAUAUAAGAGUUUUGGUCUUUUGGACAUUUUUGAACAGAAAAAGGGGCAAGUCAAAGCAAGAAAUUACCGAUUCCAAAGAAGGAUUAUAUCAGUUUUGGAUUUCAGUAAACCAAGCCUUAAGCUAUUAAUCCAUUAUGCCUUCAUCUUCCAAAAGUUCACAAGCUAGCUUUGUUUGCCUAGGCAAUGGCAAAAUCAGCUGAGCAUCUAAAUCUUCUUACAUGGUAAUUAAUAAAUAAAGUUUGAUAUUAGAUUUCGCAUUAAACAGUUUGUAUUAAGAUUUUGGAUUAUUAUAGAUUCACCAAAACAGAGCUUUUUGUUUAAUGUAAUUUCCUCUAAAUUGCAAUUAAGUGUGAUGUAUACGUAUAUAAGUUAAUAAACAACCUAGGCCAAACUGCCAAAGUAUAUAAAAGAAAAUUGGAGGUUGCUUUUGCUUCACAAACAAACAAACUAACUUUGGCUAAGCUAUAUAUAUAUAUAUAUAUAUAUAGUGAAUGUAAUAAGUAGAAAUGUUAAGACAUUGGAAUAUAUAUGACUUAAUCUCACAAAUCAUAUAUAUAUAUAGUGAAUGUAAUAAGUAGAAAUGUUAAGACAUUGGAAUAUAUAUGACUUAAUCUCACAAAUCAUACAUCCUAAUAUCCUAUACUAUUUUUAAGAAUAUAUGACUUAAUCUCACAAAUCAUUUAUUUUUAUAGGAUGCAUGCAACAUCUGCUUAAAAUUAACAAAAUAAAUAAAAUAAAACUAGUAACCUUUAUCUCUUCUCAUAGUAAUUUCUUGCUAAUUUUCCUAACUGCUGAUUUUUUGCCGCAAAACAUAGAUAAAUCACUUAAAACAAAUUCAAUACAACGCGAAACCAAUACACUCAAAUUCUUUGUUUGGCCAUUAUUGAGUAAUGAGUUAUGAGAUUGAUUUGUAGUGGACGGUGGCUACAUUAAUUAUAUAGAACAAAAUAGUUCUAAUUGAAAAUUUAAGUACGAUUUGAAUGAUAAUUGAUGGACUUUGGUCAGAUACAAAAGACGGCUGGAUUUGGACCAGCUCUGUGGACUGAAGUGGUCAUAUAAUUGCAAUUCUGUUUAUUUAUUGAUUAACUAAUAAAUUCACAAAUGUGGGACUCAUACGGAUCCGUGGAAAGUAUAUUGUAAGGGCACACGCAGUAGUACAUGUUAGGCCUGGGCACUCGGUUUAAUCGGGUUAAACGGUUCGGUUUGUUCGGUUUGUUCGGUUUUCCGGUUUUUCGGUUUUUCAAAAAUCCUGCCGAAUUGAACCGAAUAAAAUUUCGGUUUAUUCGGUUCGGUUAUAGGCUAAAAAAUUAAUUCUGAAUUGAACUGAUUUUGUUUUUUUUUUCGGUUCAUUCGGUUAACCGAUAGUAAAUAAAAGCCAAUGAAAUUUUUUACAAACCAAUUCAUCAAGCCCAUAAGAACAAAUUACAAACCCAUGAUCAAAUUUACAAAAAAUUGGCCCAAACCCAUUAAAAAUAAGGUUUCGACAUUGUGAGAGAAGAGACGGUGAUGUACGGCCCUUUGAUCCCGUCCGACGAGACCUGUUACCAAGCAGCCGCAAAGAACAACAUCAUAAAACUGUAAUAACCGAGGAUACUAAAUUUUAAGCAACUAUACUUAAGAAGCGUAAAAAAGAAAAGAGUUAUCAGAAGGAGAAGGAUCGGCGACGUUGAAGUUUUCAUGUCGUUACUAAUUUUGUGAGUAUUUAGAGAAGAAAAUGAGAGAUGUGAAGCAGAUGUAUAAGGUUUCACUAGGGUAUGAGAGAGGUAGAAGGGAAAGUGGCUGCGAGAGAAACAUUGAAGAAACACAAUUUAGGUUUAGGUAAUUAUGUUUAGGUUUUUCUAUUUUAUGUAACAGAUCUUGGGCUGUAACAAAAUUUGGGCCUGCAAAUACAGUUUAACCCAUGUUACAUUUAACGCCAAAGAUAUGCCGAUUCUCGCUCCGGAAUCGGAAACGGAAGCGGAAUCGCCCGGAAUCGCUCGGAAGCGCCUCGGAAUCGCGAUUCCCAAAGUAAGUCAUUCAGAAUCGUGGUGGAAGCGUAAGGUUCCGAGUAGGAAUCGUCGUCGGAGAAGAUCGGAAGCGUCGCUGCGUUACUUUGAUUAUUGACAUUAUCACGUUAAAGAAGAUGACAAAGAGAAUUGGGCUUUUAAUUUGUUUUGUUUGUGGCCCAGUUUAGCCCAAUAUAUUAUAACUUAACUAACAAAGAAACUAUGAUUUUAGGAGAUGAAAAAAAAAAAAAAGCUUUGCUUCACUGUUUUAAACCUUUGUUGUACAUAAAAUAAUCUUUCCUCACGAUCGUAAUCUCUGUCAAAUAAUUUUUAGAUUUUGAAACUUAGUACUCAUCUAAUUUAUUUUAAUAUGAUUUUAUUUUUAGUAUUUUAUGAUAUAUAUAUAUAUAUAUAUAUACGCUUCCAACACGUACCCGCUUCCUAUUUUUUAAAAAAAAUUCGCUUCCCCGAUUCCAAACGCUUCCGCUUCCGCGUACCCGCUUCCGAUUCCAUGUAGCUUAGGUUUAACCCAUGUUACAUUUAACAUAUUUCCUAUUAAAUAAGCCCAAGGUAGCCUAGAUAUAUUAAACGCAUCUAAACCUAGCGUUUCGUUUAUUAUUUUUUCAGUCCUUCGUCUUUCUUCGAGCAUGUCCAUGGCGGCGGAUCUUCAACAUCCCCAACUCAUCCUCGUUUCCUUGGGAGUUCCAUGAAGCUUAUUCAAAGACAGGUGAUGGUGGGAGAGAACCGAAGAACCGUUCGGUUAGGUGAUGCCGAACCGAACCGAACCGGUAACCGAAUUCUCAAAAUAAUUUUGCCGAUCGGUUCAAGCCUCCUCUCACAGUCAGCGCCGAUAACCGAAAUAGUCGGUUCUUUCGGUUCGGUUUAAUCGGUUCUUACCGAAUGCCCAGGCCUAGUACAUGUGUGUCUUGGGUGUUAACAGUAUUAUAAUAUUAUACUCUCUCCGUUUUAGUUUAGUUGUCAUUUUAGGAUUUAAAUUUUGUUUCAUAAUAGUUGUCGUUUUUUCAAUGCAAAUGUUUGGUAAAAAUUCCAGUUUUAUCCCUACUGUUUUAAUGUUUUGGCCAAUGAAAUUUUUUAUAAAAUAUAUUAAUAAAAGAUAAAACAGAAAAUUUAAUGCUUUCUUAAUUUGUGUGAAAAAACUUUAAACGUUAACUAAAUCGAAACGGAAUGAGUAAUAAAGUAUUAUAAUAAAGUAAAGAAAGAGAGAAAUAGUGAGAGAUGAUAAUUUUGCCUGUCUCUGACCGAGUUUUUGCCUGUCUCUAUUCAGCGCUGGCCACGUGUCACUUACACCCCUUGGAAAAAAGUUGCAAGUUUACACCCGUUGCCUCUCUCCAACCUUGUUUUUCUAUUAUUUUUGUUUUUCUUAUUCCUUACACCCGGGUAAAAAGUGCCCCUGUGUAUGGUCUAAUACUUCAUCAACAUUUUAUAUAUACUACCAUUCUAGUUGCAUCAAAUAGAUUAAAUUAUUCCAUUCUAAUAUUUUAUAUUUUGAUGGCAUUAGAAUGAUAUUUGUAUAAAUUAAUACUAUUGAUAUAAUACAUUGUACGAAAAUUAUGUUGAUAUUGGAUGAAAUUUUGUUUAAUGGUAUAAUAUACUAGAUCUAACACUCUAAGUAGCAUUAAGGUUGAUAACGAUGAUAUUAUGUUUGUAAGAAGAUUUUGAUUUCGAUCGAUAAUAUUGAACAGAUUUUAUAUCCUUUAUAGUUCGCACUUUCCAUAAGAUAAUAGUGUUCUUGUUGUCUUCAUUUUCAUAUUUUUCUUGCAUUUAAUCAGCGAGUGUGAAUUGGUUUCCAUCAUCAAUCAACUAACAUAUCAUCAGCAUUUAUUACUUAAAAAUAUAUUCACAUAUAAGGAAAUUUUUUUGCAAUUAAUUGGCCUUACGUACAAAAGAAAAAAAAGAAUCAAGUAAUCAUUGGGAAUAAAGAAAAUUUUUAAAAAAUCAAAGGCAAUAAUUUAAGUGGUUGGUGAAACUGUGAAAGGAUAUAUAAAAAGAAAAUAGUCAACAAGAAAAAAAAAAUGAGGAAAGUGGACACUUUGUUUUUCAACAAUUCACCUUUCUUGCUUGUGUCUACUUGGGCAAAACUCUAUUAAUUAUUAAAUCAUCCAAGAAACACAAUCCCAAAGGAACUUUUUUCAAUGAUAAUUAUUUUUAGAUAUUCGGUUAAAGAUUUUCUACAAAACUUGAAAAUGUCUUGCAAGUAUCUUGGCAUUGUUCGUUCUGAAUGUAAAUGCAUUUUCAUUCGUUGAAGAUCUAACUAUCAAUGAUUGAGAAAUAAGGAAAGUGUAAUGAUUAGAAAGCUGAAUAUGUUUUUAGGCUUAGUUUUAUAAGGAGAGUAACGUAGAAAACUAAUUCAAGGCGUGACAGGGAAAAAAAGGCCCUAAAUUCAGAUUUUGUUUUCCUUUCAACCAUGUUAGUUUGUUAGAAACUUAUGUUUAGGUCUUAGUCUUACAAACGCACGAAAUUUGAUAACAUUAGACGUUUUAGAUAUUGUUGUACAAUUUACAAAAACUGCAACUAUUACUUUGUAAAGUAAAAUCCAAAAGAAUCAUUUACAAUUAAAAAAUUUCGAAAAAUUUUAAACUUGAGAUAGUACAAGAGAACUAUUGGGGCCAAUUGGGACAUGGGAGAAGAAGCUUCUUUAUUACCAAAUUAAGUAAAUAUCCCAAACAAUUCCAUUUUGCAUGUAAACUUAAUGUCACUAUUCCUUAAAUUAAUUACACAAAAUUUCAAUUUAUGUUAUGAUGAUUGUUUGAUAUUUUAUUCCCUCUUAGAUAUUAUAUUAAAGAUCUGCAUCUUGUGUUGAGUAAUUUUGUGUAUUGGCUUGAAUAUACUUCGAUUCUUAUCAGAACACAAAAGUAAGAAAAUUUCCAGGAUUGAAACAUUUAGUUAUGACUUAUUCGAGCCGCGCCGGAUACUGUUAGCUGGCUUUAGUUGAUUUUAAUAUUUUUAUUUAACAAACAAAUGAAAACACUCGUUAAGAAAGACUUCACUGUUAGCUACUGACAAUACAUUCAUUCGCUUGGGUUAUAUUACGCAUGUACGUAGUAAAUUAAUAUGAUAAAAUGUACAGAAUCGAGCCUAACAAACAGAGGACAUGACAUAAACUAUAGUUCUAAAUCUUUUUGCGCACCUUAUUACAGAGAAAGCUAAAAUUUGUUUAUAUAUUGAGACUAUAAACUAUAGAUAUAAAUUUAACUUGUCUCUCAAGAAUGCCAGCCUAAUUAAAUAAGUUGUUACUUACUCGUAAAUUGUUUUUGGUAAUAGGAGGGAUCCGGGUCGAAAACUCAUAUACUAACUAUAGAGCAUGAGAAACACCAUAUAUGAUAUAUUCUUGCUAUUAUUUUUGAUAUCAUAACAUACAGAGCCGUCCGGAGUUUCACGUGGCUACAAGCUGAGGAAAAAAAAGGGCCACAUUUUUUUUUUUUUAAUGAUUUUGUUAUUAAAAAAAUAAAAAAUAUGUUUAAAAUACACCUUCAGGACCCGAACCCGAGAAUUGUUGACUGCACCACUGAAUUAUAACCACUAGACCACAUGAACUUUUCCAUAAAUGUGACCGAAAAUUAAUGAUAUUAUUUAAUGGCCGCAAGCAUUUGCCUGCUUGGCCUUGUGGCCGGCUCUGAUAACAUAAUCAAUCUUGAACCACUAAAGACUACAAUGAAUUUGUUAAAGUGUUACUAAAUUAAAAAAAUUUGUUUUCUACUUCCUAAUGAUAUACAUAUAUUUUACGUAUUUAAAUUAUAAGAAAUUCAUAAUAAUAGUUUAUCGUAGGAGUUACUGGAUGGUAGAUACCACAUAUAUAUAUAUAUAUAUAUAUAUAUAUAUAUUAAGGUGAAAGAUUUGGUUAUACUAUACGAAAACCAACUGUAAACAAAAUCACCAAUUCCAAGAAAUCAACAUCGAUAAAAGUAUAAGUCAUCGCUAUCACUCCAUUCAUCUCUGUUCGCCUCCUUUAAAAUUCACCUCUUAGGUUUCUUUUGGUAUAGAAAAAAAAAAUACUCUUUAGUUUUUUCCGUAACAACGUGGACAAAUGGUCCCGAAAGAAGAAAAUGGCCAAUGUAAAUGACAUUGAAAUAGUCCCAUCGGAUAAAAGACUGAAGAAAUAAUAAUUAUAAAUAACUAAUUAAUGACUUUGUGGUGUUGUAGUAUUGUGUCCACAAAUAUAUGAAUGGUCACGUUGGUUUGAUAUAUCCAAAGUGAUGAAAUUUAAAUUGGGGAAUGUAAGUAAAGUACGUGUUAUAACCAAAAGACCUAAAGUGGUACAUGCAAUUUUUGUUUAUUACAAAAUAGGAAAUUUGUUCCCAAUCGGUUGGAACACCAAAUCACUUUAAUUGUUUAAGCAUUUUGGAUCGUAUCCCUAACGAAGAUAUUUUCCAUGCAUUCCAUGUGUAUCUCCUCCUCCUUAGUAUUUAAGUUUUAUCGUGUAAAUUGAAACUAUUUUCUUCAAGUUAGUUCCUAGUCUACAUAAUUCUUUUUUACUACAAAUGACAUAUAAUCUGUAAGGAUAUCGAGAAUCUAAAAGUGUUUUUAUUACUAGUGUCACACGUGGGUGACAUUUGAAACGCAUUUGAAACGAUGUAAUAUGCUUAGAAGUAUAUAGAGUUAAAACAGUCUUUCAGAAAUCACGAUGGUAACCACAUGGUGGUGGGCGAGUGGUUCUCGUUUGGUUGGAAGGAUCGCCCUGUUGGUCUAGGCCAGAGAUCGAUCCUCCCCAGACGCAGUUUCGCUCUCUCACUUCUGUGGCCACCUGGGAAUUUACCUGCGGACUUGCUCAGGCGCCCCAGACCACCAGUUUAUCAGAGGGCCCUUAAGUGGAGGCUUAAAAAUCCCUAUGACGCGGGCUUAGGCCCAGUGGACUAGUCAGAUCACUGUGUGGUCUGGAUACUGGGUUAUAAAAAAAAAAGAAAUCACGAUGGUUAUCAAUACAAUAAAAAGAAAAUAUUGCAAAACAGCUAAGACUCUAAUAGGCUUUGUAAAUGAAAAUGAGGCUAUAGGUUAUUAAAAAGCACGAGACUAAUAUAAAUAAAACAUGUGAUGUAAAUUUCAAAUAGUAAGUAACUCACGUUGCACUUCUUGUAUUCCUCGUUUUGCCCGAACAACACAUCACUCCAAUUUUUUAAUUGGACUUGUUCUGUAACCCGCGAUAUAGGCAAGUAAGUUAAUUUAGUGGUUGCAAUAUGAUUUCUCUGAUUCAGUUUAUCGAAAUAUAUUUUCGUUAAAUUAAUGGUUGCAAUAUGUUUUCUCUGAUUCAGUGUAUUGAAAUAUAUGGAAUUAAUUAAAUGUUUUUUGUAAAUUUUUUUGGUUGUGUAAUUUCCAAAACAACGUGUACUUAAUUAAGAUGAUGUGGUUUGUGAUCAACUCAACUGUGAUUUCGUAAGUUUAAUAAGUUGAUUACGAUCUCGAUUAACAUUUGCCAUUUUUGUGAUUAAGAAUGUGUAGUAUAGCUUUGAAUUAUGGCAAAAACAACGAGAUCUUUUUUUUAAAAAAAUGAAUCACAUUGUCCAAGGUUUUUUCUAUUAAUAUGAUGAAAAAACUUUACAACUCCUUAGACUUCUAUAUAAAUUUCAAAAAUCUGAUACAAUAUUUUUUUUUAUUAUUGCAGUAUAUUCCUCCAAAACACUAACCCGAACCACAUUUAACCUAAUUUGACUGCCUUAUUCGAAUGAGUCCGGCCUACAAUGGAUUCAUUCAACCCGUAAUAUUUCUCUGCUCAUUCAAAUAUAAUCAUUUAUACUCGAAUCCGACCAUAACUACAAGCACGCCAAUCUUAGGCUUGUGGCCGUUCACAGCUACAUAUAUUUAAGCAGCCGAUUUUGUUACAGUAAAUUCAUUAGUAAUUAUGCUGGUAAACGUGGAUGCUUCAAGGGUUGGGAUCGCCAGUUCAAUCCUCACAAAGAAAUUUUGUAUUUUUCUAUUAUUAAAUGAUAAUUAUUUGGUCAAAAAGAAAUAUGGUGCUUGUGGCCACCAAUUACUUAAGGACGGUUCUCUUUACAUUUACAUUUAAUAUUUAGAUUUUAAAUCGUCUUAUAAUAACAUAUAUAUAAAUUUGAAAAUUGAUCUUCUGAAAAUUAAACUUCUGAUAUUGUUAUAUGUUUCUUUUAUACGUAGACAUAAAAACUUGGCGUUAAUUUAUGUUUUAAAAAAAAACAUAUGCUAGAAGCCAGGCGUGGGAGUAUAGGAGGUAAAUUUCCUUCACAAUUGCGGCGAAUGGCUAAGCCGAAAGUACCAAAACCAGCCGAUAUGAGCCGAGCCGAGCUGAGCUGGUGAUUGUACCUCACGUGUCAAAGCCUCUCUGAGCCGUAUUGUUGGGAGAACUCCCACGUGUUCAGUCCCAUCGAAAGCGACGGUCCGAUAUUUAUAUACACACUCCUUUCUCGUCUCAUAUCAUCUCAGCCGUCCAUUGAUCUCUUGUAUCUCAUUAUCAUACAUUUACUUUUUUUUUUUUUUUUUUUGGUCACCAAUUCGGUUACUUUUCUUUAGUGAAUUGAUAUAAUUCACAUUAGAAAAGUAAUAACGCGAUGUUAAAAAAAAGAAGAACAAGUCAUAACGUAAAACCCAUUGGUGAUCUCAAAUGUUGAUUUCACAUUCUCUUUAUGGUGCAUGUUAGUUAAGUGGAAGAAAGAAAAAACAUAGCUUAUGUGUACCACAUACUAUAUACUUUGUCAAAGAUUGUACUCUCAUUCUUCAUUAAAUAAAAUAUACAAAACCCAGCUAUAUAUUGUUAGCUUUCUAAUAUAAUUUGGUAUAUUUAUUGCUUUUACAUAGACGAAAACUACAUGAAAUCUACACACACACAAACGAGUACCAAUGUAUAUGUGGGCGUUAGAUAUAAAUUCAUAUACUUAUGUAAGCAUUGUCCACAAUUUUCAGAGUCGAGUCCUUUCAUUAUCAACAAUCUCUUUAACUCCACUAUAGAUCCCAAUUUCCCUCACUAUAAAAGGAACCCAUUUCCUCUCUCUCUUCUUCACUUCAUCUUCUUACACCAAAUCUAUCUUCAACAAACUCCAUUCUCUAUAUAUAACUUUAAAAACUUUGAUUAAUCAGAUCAAAUAUUUCACAAGUUAAAAAACAAACACACUUUCUCAACAAUGAGACUCUCUCUUUCUCCCGUACGUCCGCAUAGUGUACUAGUACCUUCACUCCCAAAGCACGACGUCGUUUCUUAUAUAAAUGGUACGACGUCGAAUCGUCAAUGUCGAUGUGUACUUACUCUUCCUUCUCCUUCAGUUUCUACCUCCCGACCACCGGUUCUACCCAAACCGGAAACCUGGGAGAGUUUGCUACUAAACCAAGAUCAUAGUUCCGGCGAAUUCUCGCCCUCUGGUUCGAAUAACCCGGUUAAGCUUGGCCGGAGAUGGAUGGAGUACCAGGGGCUUCAAAAUUGGGAUGGUCUUUUAGACCCAUUGGACGAAAAUCUCCGGCGUGAGAUUCUCCGGUACGGUCAAUUCGUCGAAUCGGCUUAUCAAGCGUUUGAUUUCGAUCCUUCUUCUCCAACCUACGCGACAUGCCGGUUUCCGAGGAGCACUUUGUUAGACCGAUCCGGUUUACCUAAUUCCGGUUAUCGACUAACGAAGAACCUUCGUGCCACGUCAGGUAUUAACUUGCCACGUUGGAUUGAGAAAGCGCCAAGCUGGAUGGCUACACAAUCCAGCUGGAUUGGUUACGUGGCAGUUUGCCAAGACAAGGAAGAGAUCUCACGGCUUGGGCGUAGAGACGUCGUCAUCUCCUUCCGUGGAACCGCCACGUGUCUCGAAUGGUUAGAGAACCUUCGCGCCACGCUGACUCAUCUCCCUAAUGGGCCUACUGGACCAAAUCUAAACGGGUCUAACUCUGGGCCCAUGGUCGAGAGCGGGUUUUUAAGCUUGUACACUUCAGGGGUUCACAGUUUGAGAGACAUGGUCAGAGAAGAGAUCUCAAGGCUACUCCAAUCUUACGGCGACGAGCCGCUAAGUGUAACGAUAACAGGCCACAGCCUCGGAGCUGCGAUCGCGACACUAGCCGCGUAUGAUAUCAAAACGACGUUUAAACGUGCGCCGAUGGUUACCGUAAUAUCUUUUGGAGGUCCACGUGUCGGAAACAGAUGCUUUCGGAAACUCCUUGAGAAGCAAGGCACGAAGGUUCUAAGAAUCGUGAACUCCGACGACGUUAUCACCAAAGUUCCUGGAGUCGUUUUAGAAAACAGAGAGCAAGAGAACGUGAAGAUGUCGACGACUUCGAUAAUGCCGAGCUGGAUACAGAGACGCGUGGAGGAGACGCCGUGGGUUUACGCCGAGGUCGGUAAGGAGCUUAGGCUGAGCAGCCGUGACUCGCCGCACUUGAACAGCAUCAAUGUGGCUACGUGUCACGAGCUGAAAACGUAUUUACAUUUGGUAGACGGGUUUGUGAGCUCCACGUGUCCAUUCAGAGAGACGGCUCGGAGAGUUCUCCAUAGAUGAAGAUUCAUCUAACAUUCGUAACUAAUUUAACUUUGUGCAAAGAAACAGUAAACCAAGAAAGAAAAUCAUGAACCGGAAUGGUUUGAUAUAUUUGGUUAACAGAUUAAUUUCGUUACAUAUCUCUAACUUAGUGGUAGAAAAAGUAAGUAUAGAAGACAGCUCUAAAAGAGCGAAAAUGUAUUGAAGCUCGUAUAAUCUCAUAUAAUGUAUAUAUGCUUGUUUAAAAAAACAAAAAUUUGGGUGUGGUCAUGAAAUUUAGUCGCACGAGACGAGCGCAUGUGUGUUUCUAAACCUCCUAAAUUCCCAGUGUUCAAGAAAGCGCUAGGCGCUAAGCGGACGGUGAUCCAAUGCCUAGCGCCUAGAACGCCUAAUCGGGGUCUAGGCGAUUUUUUAGGCGGUUUAGACGUUUAUAACAUAAAAUAUUAUAAAUAUGAUAUUAUAUAUAAAAGUUAUAUAAAAUAUCUAUAUAAAACUAAAAAUUAUGAAAUUAUAAACAAAAAUUAGAUAAAACAUUUAUUUAUAUUUAUAUUAAACAAUAUAUGAAUAUUUAUAACUAUAUAUAUAAAUAAAACUCUAAUUAAAAUUGAAAAAAUACAUUAAACUGUGUUUUUAGGCGGUUAUCUAGGCGUCGCAUAAGAGCCUAGCGCCUAGUCGGGGCCUAGGCGACCGCCUAGACCGCUUUUUAGAACACUGUAAAUUCCUAAAGGCGUAAAUUGUCUUAACUUGUGAAAAGACAUAAAUAUCCCUAUCUCCGUCCAAAUUUGUGAAUACCCCCAGUGAUGGUGCCACGUAAGCACCGACCGUUUGAAGAAGUUGACUGGAAAUGUACUUUGCAAAAAAAAGCUUUGAAAGAUUCAGUUACUUGUGAAAUCUAAAAAUCCAAAAUCAAAAUGAGAACACGCAUCAUGCGCCGUCCAUUAUUUUACCGUAUAGUACUUAAUUUCUUCGUUACUGUGAAAACAACACCAUCGACGCGUUACUUUUUGCAAUAAAAAGCAUCAAGAUUUUUUGGUAUAAUUAGCAACAUUGUACAUUUCAUUAAAACAAAAGCAAAGGCUGCAAUAAUAAUACGCUCACGUUAUUGUGUUCAAUCUUAAUUAAUGGUUGAUAUUAAAAGUAAAAAAGGAUCGUGUUUAUGUGACUGGAGGGAGGGAACGAAUGUUAUAGUUGAAAUGUGUUACUUGUUUUAGUAUUGUCAAAACGAUGAAUUGUUCAUUUUAGUUCGACUUUUAUUGACAUUGAAGUAUAUUUUAUUUUAAGAUUCAUUUACUUAAAUGAGCUAAUUCAGUUUGAGUUUGAAUACACUUUUCUAUUAUAGAUACACAAAUUUUUUAUAGUAUUUGUUUGCACCCUGUUUAUUUCAAUAUCGAAUUAAUUUCAACAAGAAUAUCAUUUGAAGAUAUAGAAACUAACAACUGAUCUCAUAUGAGAAUAAUCACCAAUUCCUCUUUUGGAGCUUCAACUCUUACAUAAACUUCAUCAUAUGCUUUCUAUAUUAUGUCAAUACUAAUUAUACAUUAUGCAAUCAUACAUCAGAAAGUUCUAUUAAUCUAAGUCCUGAUUAAAUAGCUUCCGGUCAUGAAAAAAGUGAAUGGGUGAAGAUAGCCAUACAUUGGUUCGAAUAUAUAACAUGCAUGAUGAAAAGUAUGAUCAAGUGAGUAAUUUUAAACGCAGAUGAAAAUAACUUUCUACCGUCUUCAACGUUUCUUUUGUUCUUGUGCAAUUUUUUCUUUUUCUUUUUCUUUGUGCCCUCCCUCAUAUUUUGUGUGUGUUUCUAUCUCUUCUUGAAAAAUGAUUCAAUCACCCCCCAAUACCAAAAAACGAACAUAUAACUAUAAUUAUAUUUGACAAAUAGAUAUGUGAUUCUAAAUGAGAAUGAUUUUUAUUUUGGGGGCAAACAAUGAGAAUGCAUUAUGCCAUCUAAAUAACAUAUAACUAAAUACUGCGAUUGUUUGCCCAAAAAAAAAAAUAUCGAUCAUAUUAAAGAUAAUUUUGUUUGUGUUUAGGUUAAUUACUUAAUUAUAUAACGGACUAAUCAUAUAGUUUUCCGUUUAGUCAUUCAUCAUUCUGAGUAAGAAGAGAAAAACAAUUAAACAUAGAAGUUCACGAGCGUCACUAUUUUUGUGGGUGCCAUGAGAGGAAAAUAUAUGGCAUGCAAGAUCCAAGCCGUAUAUGUACAUAGGGACGUCGUAGUCUCAAAUAUAUAUGUACAAAAGUGACUAGAUCGCAUAACCGACCCAUUCCUAAAAUGUUAGCUUUGAAGAUAUACAUAGUUGUAGAAAGUGAGUGAUCAUCGUUACUUGUUACUUUGUUAGACCCACAUUAUUCCUCGUCCAAAAAUAUAUCAAUAUGGAGAUUGCCAAAAAGCCUAGAUGAUUCAAGCUUAUAUUAAAGGUUUUAGCUUAGAAAAGUCAAUAACGUAUAGUUAACUUUUUCCGUUUCCCGUUAUUGUGGAAACCUUAUCUACAGUACUUUGACUACAUUCUCCGACCACUUUUUAGUCUUUAAUACAAAUUUUUUUUGAAAAUUUAGUUUAUAGGUGUGACUUUUUUUUUUGACAGCAUUAUAGGUGUGACUUUUUUUUUUUGUUCGUUUGUGCAUUUGUUUCUAACAGUGUUCCAAAUAUACCAUCUAACAUAUAUAUUAGUAAUAAGAGUUCGUAUGUGCGCAGCAUUCCCUUGGACCUUUAAUAUUUAUGUGCGUUUUCUUGUUGAUAUUUCAAUUUUUCCCCUGUCUUUCUAUUUCGCAUUAAUAUCAUAAAUUCAUAAUGUAUACAUAGGUGACAUUUGUAUACAUAGGCACAUGUAUUGGUAUAUAAAAUCAGGACCGUCCUAAAAUUAUUUGUUACCCUAUAUAAUUUUUUUUUGUUAAAAUACCCUAUAUAUAUUAUGGUUUAUAAUCAUAAAUAAGAUUUUUUUUUUAAAACUCAAUCUAACUUGCGCUUGAUCUUGCUGUCUUCUACAAAAGUGAUAUCAUACCAAAAUUACAACAACAAAAAGAAUUAACGGUGACUAGUUCAAAAUAUUAAUCGAAAUCCAAUAAAUUAAUCAACUCCUUUUUAGUUUCACCUUUUACGUGAAUCAUGUGAUAUACUCAAUGCAUACAAAUGUCAGCUUAGAGAGAUUUCAGCCGACUUUUGAACAAGGACCAAAACAGCCUACGCCAUGCGGAGAACACGACAAUACGUAUUAUUGUUGAUGUGUAGAUAUUUAUUUCUUACUUUAAUUUUAGCCAUAAUUAUUCGUUGGCAGAAAAGAAAGAUUAGUUACAUAAUCUCUUCUAUUUAGAAUUUUUAAAAUCACUUCCUAAUUCAUUAACAAUUCCGAUAAAUCAUGACAAAUUGACAAUGGUAAUUUAUGUAAAUAAUAUAUUAUUGAGACAAGAUAUCUCAAUAUAAAUUGAAAAUUUCCCUAAAUAUACAUGAAUAAAUGAUGACGUAUAAUGGACAGUGUGAAAACAAAUAUAUUUGACAAAAUAUAUAAAUAAAGGAAAGGAAGAGGAAUGUGUGUGUGUGUAUGCCUUUAUGCCUCCUACAUCUCAACAUUGAGCAAAAUUGCGGCUGCCCAACAACCACUCAAAAGAGAAUUAUUAGUCAAAAUUAUCAAAAUCAAUGCAUGUCCUAAUCUCUCUCACCCAACUCUCACCUUCAUUUCAACUCCCAUGCAUAUUUUUGGUCAAUUAAUUUAUUAUUAUAAAACUAUGUACAAUGAAAACUGAAAAAGAAUUUGUUGCACAUAUUAUUAAAAUAAUGCACGUCGUAUGAAGAGUCAAUUUAUAAACUUUUACUUUUAGCUCAUAAUGAAUUUACAACUAUCUUAGAUGAUAAUCAACAUUAUAUUUACUCUAUUUCAAUUUACAAUAUGGAAUUUUGAACAAGUCCAUGUGAAGUUUCACGUACGUGGUGUGGAGUAACGCGAAGUUGGUCCAAAAGCAAAGAGACUUUAUAAAUUAAAUCUAGAAAACUAUUAAGAAGAGUGACGCAACGGUAUAUUUAUUUCCAUUCCACGUUCACAUUUCUUGGUUUUCUUUUACAUUUUAUUGUUUCUCUGGGUCAUAAACUAAAUUGACUAAUUAGCCAUCAAUCAUUUUUUCCUCAGUUUUUUCUCAACAAAUGUGAACGUUGUGUAUAAAGCUCUGUUUAGUGGUUGUUGCUCGAUUUUAUCCAAAUAUCACAGAACUGAGAAAUAACAAGCUAUCUGGUUAAAGUACAUAAUCUUCUGUACUGAACCGGCAAAUUCUUACUUAGAUUCUGUUUGAUAAAAUUUUAUAUUUUGGUCCAUUUAUAUAGUCACAUAAACAUAAUUAACUAGAUCUUGAACCUUAUAAUACAGAUUGAAGCGAAAGGAUUACAUAAAAGUAAAACUCUAAAGUAUCUAAUUCAGAGUCGCUGGUUUUUCUAGUGUUCAUCUCAUCGCUGAUUAUUGGUAGGGCUACUGAUUUUGUUCUUCAACAACAAUGGAGAAAAUAAAAAGCUUUUUUUGUUCUUUUAUCGUCCAAACUGGCUGCGUUCUGAAAACGAAUCUAUAAAAGUAGAUAUGGUUACAAAAAAAAUGAAACAGAGAGUCUUCUACUCUUUUUCAAGUUCGUACUUGAACAUUUCCGGCCGAAGUCCCACGGCGUGUGAACAGUAUACAUAAAAUUAAAUAUUUUAAUAGAUUUUUUCUAAAAAUUUUAGAAGUAGUCGUACGUGUAUAAGACAACAGCUGAUAACUCCCCAAUUUCCGACCAAUUCAUUGUAUCAUGUAUUCAUGCGUGUGUGUACCUUUCCCCAUCAAAAUUAACGAUUUAAAUAUAUAAAAAUAAGAAUAGGAAGACUACAAAAGAAAAAAAAAAAGAAGAAGAAGACCAAUGCAAUGUAUCAUAUGUGUGUAUUCAUUUCCCCAUCAAAAAUUCACGUAUAUUCUUUAUCAAAUAAAUAAACUAAAAUCAACUCAUAAUGAAUAGGAAAACAAAGACUUUAUAUUUGAUAAAUACUACUUCCUAGUUACUUCUCUCUUCUUUUUCAUGUAACACUGUAAGAGAACGAUAUGAAAAAAAUAUAGUGUAUCAAAAAAUUUGAAAAUAUAUAUUAAGAUAAAAUAAAUCAUUAAUAAGCUUCAAUGACGAGAGAGCUAAACCAUGGAAAAGAAAAGAUAAAAGGUAGGCCUGGGACUCUUGUGUAGAAAGGAAAAUCUGAUCUAGACUUUUCUCUCUCAGGCACGUCUCCCGAUGACUCCUCAAAGAAGUUAGGGUUUUCAAAUUUUCCAGAUCUCACCUACUUUAUUUAACCAAAUAUGGUAACUUUUCCCCUUUUCCUCCCCAUAAUGGCUUCUCCGGUGACCCCCUCGUCCUUUUCCGGUAGCAUUCCGGCCCGUCAGUGACUGCUUUCCGUCUCCCUUCGAGCCCCUCUCGAGGUUGGUGGUGACCAACCAUUUACUGCGGUGUGCAGCUCUUCGCCUCACUCCUCUUCUGAGUUACUCUCGGUCUUUCAGGUUUACUUAAAGCUCAUUCCUAGUCUUCCUCUACCCCGUCCAGCUACUCUCUUUUCUUGGGUCAUUCCUCACCCACUAUGGCAAGCCGCCUCACUAGAUCUGAGAAAGAAAAAUGGGUCGCCGGAACCCUUAAAAGCUCUCGCCGCCGGUCCCCUGUCCGCAUCCCCCAAUGCGAUACCUCUGCGCUCAUUGAGGAAAACAAGCUUACCCUUAUAGGGAGAGUCACUAACUCAACAGUUCAAAAGCCUAAAGCUGUUGUCAACUACAUGCCUCAACUCUGGAAUCUCGAGAGUAGAGUUGUCGGCAGAGACCUUGGUUCUGAAUGUUUUCAGUUUCGUUUUGAGAGUGAAGCGGACCUCCAGUCUGUUCUUCGAAGAGGUCCUUAUCAUUUUAAGAACUGGAUGCUCAUUCUACAACAAUGGGAACCCAUUAUCUCUGACACUUUUCCAGCCUUCAUCACCUUUUGGAUCAAAAUUCAUGGUAUCCCUCUCCAUUUCUGGUCGGACCAAACUAUUCGCACUAUCGGGAAGGAACUUGGUACUCUGGAGGCGAGAGAGGUCUUAGAAGGUCGUGUCCGAGUCCCUAUUAAUGGCCUAGCGGCUCUGGAAAUGUCCAUGCCUAUCCGGCUUCCUGAUGGUUCUAUCAAAACUGUGGAACUAGAGUACGAGAAGCUAGAGAAACAUUGUUUCAACUGCUUUGAACUCUCUCAUGAAAAAAAGGACUGCCCUCUUCCUUUAGUCUCUAGAUCUCUCGGCAUUAAUCAACUUAAGGCGGCUCAACGUAUGGAUUCUGAACGCAGGCGCCAAGAAGAGAGAAGAGAGGACAGGCCGCCUCCUAGGCCUCUACCUGUGGGAAGCCGGGAGAACAGAGCUGCUAGUGGGGGAAGAAACAGAGGCCUCUCUUCCCCUAGGUAUCCCUUAGCUAGAGAUACCAGACGCUUCUCUCCAUCCCGUGAUUCUGGAGCUACUCACUCACAAAGGAAUCCCUCUCGCUCCAGGAGGGACGAGGUAGUCAGGCAUCGUUCUCGUUCUCCUGACCGUCAUUACUCUGUUUCUAGAGAUUUUACUCUUCAAGGUCAUAGACGCCAAUCUCCAAGGGACAUUGGGAGCGCCUACUCUGCUGAUUUUAGGCCCCACCAUCCUAGAGGAAGGGAGACCUCAAGGUCUGAUUCACGGCGCAGUCCACCAAGGCUUAGCCCUAUUCAUCGCAGCCCUCCUCGGAAACCUGACUAUGAGGUUGUUGCUCGAUCCGGUAGAUCUCACUAUUCUCAAUCGCCUCCACCUUGCCCUCCCCUACCCUGCCCCCCAAGUCUUCCGCCUCCUAGGCCUGCAGGGUUGGAAAUUGGUGAACCUUCCAGUCUUCCCCAUUCAAGAAGACCUGCCUUGGAAAGAAUCUCCCCACGAAUCACUCAUACAGCCUCCCUCCUCACUACUUCCAGGUUUGGUUCAGGGCACCUCCAAGAUGUGGAAAUUCAAUAUGCGGGAGAUAAUACUCAAGAUCUCCCUGGUGAUGUACAGAAUUCUUCGCUGGUUCCUGGUGAUCUCAGAAUUCACACUUCCCUCAGAUUGGGACCAAUUCCUCCAGCUGCUCCCUCAAAACCCAAAGGAGCCCCAAGGAAAAAAGCUCCUACUACUACCAAACCUAAGACCUCAGGGAGGAGAAAACCAGCUAAGGCCUCCCCUAGGAGACGUGUUGUCCGCAGCCCUCUCCAAGGAGUUAGUCUGAAAAAGCGCACCGUCACUAGACCAAAUGCCAAGAAGAAGCUUAAUGUGGAUCCUCCUGCCAAUGAGGCAGAUUUACCUGAGCGUCAGGAUACAGUGGACCAUGGUCAAACAAGAGCUCCACCAAUUAACAUUAUCCCAGCUAUCACCAAGAGUACGGGGGAUUUUCGGAUCCCAUCAAACCCCCUUCCUUAGCUAUGGUGAGCUGGAACUGUCAAGGGAUAGGGAGCCCCUUGACAGUUCGUCGUCUUCGAGAAAUACGCUUCAGUAUUUUUCCAGACAUACUGUUCCUUACUGAGACCAAGAAUCAGGAUAGCAAGGUGCUAGAGGUAGUUAACUGGAUGGGUUAUACUCAUCAUUUCACUGUCCCUCCUUUGGGUUUAAGUGGAGGUUUGGCUUUAUUUUGGAAGGACGCAGUUAACCUGGAAAUCUUAGAAUCUUCUCCUAAUCUCAUCGAUACCCAAAUCAAGUGCAAGGAUCAGCUCCUCUUCAUCUCCUUUAUAUAUGGUCUCCCUCAAACAGAAAACAGAGCAGCAUUCUGGGAUUAUGUCUCCAAUCUCGGCUCUGAUCGCUCAACCCCAUGGCUACUCACUGGGGAUUUUAAUGAUACACUUGAUAAUUUCGAAAAGGUCGGAGGUCCUGCCCGAUGUGAAGGCUCCUUUAUCCCUUUCCGAUCCUUUGUGGCGCAGAAUGGCCUAUGGGAUGUUAAACACUCCGGGAAUCACUUCUCGUGGCGAGGCUGGCGGUAUGACCAUUUUAUUAAAUCUCGUUUGGAUCGGUCUCUGGCAAAUUGCGGCUGGUUUGAAGCGUAUCCUGCCGGUCGUUGUGAGUACCUUCGUUUCGAAGGGUCUGAUCAUCGACCCCUUGUUACGUUCUUGGAUGAUUGUAAGAGGAAGAACAAGGGCCUGUUUAGGUUUGAUCGGCGCCUUCGUAACAAUGAAGAAAUUCGAACCUUAGUGGGCCAAUCUUGGAGAAGCCCACAUGAAGAAUCUGUCUUGGAGAAAAUUAAUCGGUGCAGAGCCCAUAUUAUUAAGUGGACUAAGGCCCAAAAUGCAAACAGUAGCCGUUUAAUUAAGGAAGCCCAGGAAGCCCUCGAAGCUGCUCUCUCUUCUUCAACUCCUGAUCAGCCUUUCAUUACCUCAACCACAGCGAGCUUGGAAAAACUUUACAGAGAUGAAGAAUUGUUUUGGCGACAACGGAGCAGGAUUCAAUGGCUACAAAGUGGAGACCGUAACUCGGCUUACUUUCAUGCUGCAACAAGAGCAAGGCGAGUAAUUAACAAUGUCUCUGUAAUUGAAGAUGAGCAAGGAAAUGAAUAUCAUGAUGAAGACCAGAUUGCUAAUACCAUCUCCUGCUACUAUCAGUCCAUAUUCACAGCGGGACAACCCUCUACCAAUUCAGUUGUGGAGGAAGCUCUGGUUCCCAAGGUCUCGACUGAUAUGAACCGGCAACUUAUAUCCAUCCCUUCUCUUCUUGAAAUUAAGGAGGCAGUGUUCUCUAUUCAUCCAGAUAAAGCGCCUGGUCCGGAUGGUUUUUCUGCGGGUUUUUACCAGUCUUUCUGGGAUAUCAUUGGUUUAGAUGUUUCUCGAGAUAUAUGUCUUUUCUUCGAAUCAAGCUACCUUUCCCAGAGGCUUAAUGAAACUCACAUCCGUCUGAUACCUAAAGUUACUAGUCCAAGGAAAGUCUCCGACUACAGGCCUAUAGCUUUGUGCACAGUACACUACAAAAUCAUAGCUAAGAUCCUCACCAAAAGGCUGCAACCCAUGCUCUCUUCUCUCAUCUCCGUCAAUCAAUCUGCCUUUGUUCCUAACCGUGCUAUCUCUGACAACGUUUUAAUCACUCAUGAAAUCUUACAUUUCUUGCGCACUUCGGAAGCUAAGGUACGAUGCUCUAUGGCGGUUAAGACUGACAUGAGUAAGGCCUAUGAUCGAAUUGAGUGGCCUUUCUUAGAAGCAGUCCUCCGACGUCUUGGUUUUCAUGACAAAUGGACAUCUUGGAUCAUGGCAUGCGUAGGCUCUGUUUCUUACUCUUUCCUAGUUAAAGGUACUCCAAAAGGGCAAGUUUUUCCUUCCCGAGGCUUACGGCAAGGGGAUCCUCUUUCCCCUUAUCUUUUCAUCUUGUGUACCGAAGUGCUUUCGGGUCUUUGUCAUCGGGCGCAACUUCGUGGCCAAUUACCGGGUAUCAAAGUGGCUCGGGGUAGCCCUCCCAUCAACCACCUUCUCUUCGCCGAUGAUACGAUGUUCUUUUGUCGGUCUAACCCUAAAAGUUGCAACAAGCUAAUGGAAAUUAUCUCUCGCUAUGGAGAAGCAUCGGGCCAAGUCAUCAAUGUUACUAAAUCGGCCAUUACUUUCUCUGUUAAGACUCCUCCUUCAGUUAAAGAGGCUGCUAAAUCCAAGCUGGGUAUAGUUAAUGAGGGCGGAGUUGGAAAGUACCUAGGACUACCCGAACAUUUUGGUAGGCGAAAGAAGGAUAUCUUCACCUCUAUUGUCGAUAAGAUCCGCCAACGCUCUCACAGUUGGACCUCUCGCUUCCUCUCGGCUGCGGGAAAGCAAAUUCUCCUAAAGUCCGUCUUAGCAGCGAUGCCCCUCUACGCUAUGUCGUGCUUCAAACUUCCUCUCUCCCUUUGCAAAAGAAUUCAAUCCAUUCUUACUCGCUUUUGGUGGGAUGACAAACCAGAGAAGCGUAAGAUGAGUUGGGUUUCGUGGGACACGCUAACUCUUCCCAAAUCUGAAGGAGGCCUUGGUUUCAGAGAGAUUGCACAAUUUAAUGAUGCCCUCCUAGGACGCAUCAGCUGGAGAAUUCUGAACUGCCCUGAAUCCCUUCUCGCCAGGGUUUUGCUAGGGAAAUACUGCCAUGAGAAACCCUUCCUAGAGGUCUCUAUCUCCUCCUCCUGCUCUCACGGGUGGAGGAGUAUCAUGGCAGGAAGAGAGGUUCUUAGGAAAGGGUUAGGAUGGACAGUUGGGGAUGGCAACUCAAUAAACGUUUGGAAGGAUCCCUGGCUUUCUACUGCCCUGCCCCUUGUCCCUUUUGGUCCUCCUACUUUGGCUGCUCAUAACCUUAAGGUCAGCUCUCUUUUACUUCCAAGCUCCAACGAUUGGAAUACAAGAGCCAUUCGCCAUCAUCUUCCGCACUAUGAGAGCACCAUCCGCAAACUGAUCCCAAGCUCAAGUAAAAAGAAGGACUCCAUGGUUUGGUUACCCGAAAAAUCCGGCGCCUACUCAACUAAAACAGGAUAUGUCCUGUCCAAGCUUCACUCUCGAGCUCUGGGACCUGAGUCCUUCAAUUGGAAAUUAAAUAUCUGGCAAUUACGUCUUCCCCCAAAACUGAAAAUGUUCCUCUGGAAGAUUAAGCGCAGAGCACUCCCGGUUGGAGAUAACCUCGCUAUCCGCGGUAUCACCAGUGAUCUAUCAUGUAAAAGAUGUGGAGCUUUAGAAACAGAACUGCAUCUCCUCCUCUCAUGUCCUUUUGCCCAGAAGGUAUGGGAUUUAGCUCCUCUGCACCGGAAACCCAGGGAAGACCUUGUUGGUUCAGUUGCUCAACUGUUAGAGACGGCUCGGAUCUCCCAGUGCCUCCCUCCUAUAGGACUCUCUCACACCUCUCUGUUCCAUUGGAUCCUUUGGCAACUCUGGAAGUCACGAAAUCGACUAAUUUUUGAAAACCAGGCCUUCUCUGAAGCGGAAAUUUUAAAUAAGUCCAUUACUGCAGCAAAAGAAUGGCAACUUGCUCAACAAUUGCUCCAAGCGCCUUUGGGCAAUAAGUUCAAACACUUACCUCUUAUUGAGGCUGUUUCCACAACAUUACCUCUUAUUGAGGUUUCUUCUUCUCUGGUUCCUCUUACUGAGGUUUCUUCGCAAUUGGUCCCUCGUUCUGAGGUCGUCUUUUGCUUCACGGAUGCGGCUUGGAACGCUUCCUCUGGCUCCUGUGGUAUGGGAUGGAUUCUUAAGACUCGGGACCACCGGGUUAUCCAUCAGGGCUCGGCUACUCGCCUCCAUACUCCCUCCGCUUUAGCUUCCGAAGCUUUAGCUCUGAAAUCAGCGCUGACCGCAGCGUCUAGAAUGGAACUCACCUCCAUCAUCGUUUUUUCGGACUCUCAAGUCCUUAUAUCUCUGCUCAAUACAGAGACCACUUCGAACGAGCUGCAAGGAAUUCUUCACGAUAUUACCUUGCUUCGCUGUUCUUUUUUAUCCAUUAAGUUCUCCUUUGUUCCUCGCGAAGCUAACUUGUUAGCUGACGCGCUGGCCAAGUCCUCUUUAUCUGCUUUAUCUGCUUUGAACUCUCCUGCUAUGUAACGACACUUCUUUAUAAUGAAAGUUGGUUUGCCCAAAAAAAAAAAGGUAGGCCUGGGAAUUUGAACCGAACCGAUUUGUCCGAACCGAACCGAACCGAGGUUUGGGCAAAUCGGUUUGGUUCAAUUUAAUUGAGUUAAACCGAUCGAAAAGAUAUUAAUUUAGGUUCGGUUAACCGAGAAUUUCGGUUCGGUUCGCUUGAACCGAACGGUUAACCGAAAAACAAAAACCCUAACCUAAUAUUAACCCUAGCCGCUCUUCUUCUUCGUUUAGAGCUUUCUAUUCUUCUUCUUCUUUCUCUUUUUAGAUAGUUUCGUCAAUCAUCAAUCAUUCAUUAUCAUCAUAAUCUUAUUCUUCUUCAACUUCUCCUUCUUCUUAUGCUUCUUCUUCGAUCUAUUACCAACAUCUUCUUCUUCUUCUUCGAUCUAUUAUCAACAGCUUCUCUUCUCCUUCUUCUUAUGCUUCUUCUUCGAUCUAUUACCAACAUCUUCUUCUUCUUCUUCGAUCUAUUAUCAACAGCUUCUCUUCUUCUUCGAUUCAUCACCAACAGCUUAUCAUCAUCAUCAUCUUCUUCGCCUUUCAGAUCUAUACGCCCGCUCCGCCUUUCAGAACUCGCCGCCGGUGUCUCCAUUCGUCGGUUCGUCGGCCGUUGGUUGCUUCGUUGAAGACAAAAGCUUAUCUUUCUCUUUUUUUUUUUUUUUUUUUUUUUUGUUUCCAAUUAAGAUAAGCCUAGUUAGUUCAAAAAAUAAAAGACAAAGCCCACUUUUAAAAACAGUUUUGGCCCAAAACGAUUGAACCGAAUAACCGAAUUACAAAACCCUAAAUAACCGUGUCCGAACCGAACCGAAAUCUUAGUCGGUUAGUUUCGGAACAGCUUUCAAAUUCCGAAAUAACCGAAAAACCGAGAAACCGAACCCGAAUAAACCGACCGGUUCGAAUUCCCAGGCCUAAUAAAAGGUAUAAAAAACAUACAAUAAAACCUCUAUAAAUUAAUACUCUAUAAAUUAAUAAUCUCUCUAAAUUAAUAAAUUCUUCCGGUCCCGAGUUGGGACCAGUGUAAAAUAUGACAUAAAUCGAUAAAUUAAUAAGAUAAUAAUUUUUUUGAAAGUUUCAUGUAAAUAUAUGGUCCCAUUUAUAUCAUAAAUUAAUAAUUGUAUAAACUUAUAUAUAUAUAUUUAACUUAAUAUAUAUAUACAUAUAUAUAUGAUAUAAAUUUAUAUAUGUCAUAUAUGAAUUACUAUGAUAUAUAUUUAAAAUAUUCUAUGAAAAAAUUUAAUAAAAUAUGACUCUAUUAUUCGAAAAAAGUUUGUGUUGUUUUUUAAACGUAAUAAUUACUUUUCUACUUGUAAUUAGUUUUUAAAAGAUAUUGCUUAUAAAGAAAUUUUUUAUUUUUAGAUAGAAAUUUUUUAAGAAAUUACAAAAUUAGUAAAAUCUCUCUAUAAAUUAAUAAUUAUUAAGUUAUCGAUAAAUUAAUACCUCUCUAAAUUAAUAAAAUUUUCUGGUCCCAACUUUAUUAAUUUAUAGAGGUUUUACUGUAUAUAGUUGGAAAACGUUAUAGGAAAAGCCCAAAGUUUUAAGGGAAAGGCCCACCAAGCCCAAUAGAUUUUACUUCUGCCAAAAUAACAAAAAAAAAAUCAAAGAAGAACAAAGCCUUCCCUCUCCGCCAUUGAAACCCUAAACCCCUUAUCGAUUUUCACUGUUCAUCAAUCACUCUGCGCCACUCUCCCUAUCAAGCUUCUUCAAUUUUCCUCUGAGACCAGUCGUGAUUUUGCAGAGAUCCCUCAGGUUUUGGGUUCGUAUUCGAUCUCUAAAUUAUGUAACUCUUAGGAUGAUAUAGCUAUUAGUUACAUACCUAGAUUAGUCGGAAUCCGGAAUCGAAAUUCGAAUAGGAUGUUGUUAUAGGUCAACGAAUUUAAGAUAUAGAAAGCUCUUUGUCUAAGCCUCGCCUGAUUGUUUUGUCUCAGGAAGAUUCAAAAUCAGAAUGUAUAAUCGCAAGCCAAUGGAGAAGAAAAAGGAAGGCAUGGGUUCUGUUGAUCAAGACCUGAGCUUUAGGAAGAUAAUGAAGGAUGUUGAACUCUUUGGUAAACACUCUUUAUCUCUCUCCAUUUGAUCGCCAUUGUAUUGUGAUUAUGCAAGUUUUAUGUACUCUUCUUCAGCUGAACUUGUUCUUGUGUUAAGGCUCUUCGCAUAUGACAUGGAAGGAUAAGAAAGCAUUGGAGAACAAGAAGGUGACUGCACUCGGUGGAAAGGUGAGAUUUUUUUGCAGUAAUCGAAACCUUUUUUUCUCGGUGAAGAUUUUAUGCGGGUCGGUUCUUGAGAUUUUAUUUUGUUGUUUAUUGAAGCCUCAAAAGAUGCAUAGGCUACCUCUGAGUGUAGCUAGAGUGCAGAUGAAGAAACAGAAAGAUAGAGAAGAGAAGAUGUUAGAACAGGUGAUUUUUUAGGUCAUGAACCACUCUGUUCCUUUGCAACAACAACUAGUUUCUCAUCUGUUAUUGGGUGUUUUUUCAGAAUAUGAUUCUUGGCAGAUUUGGUGGGGGUGGAAGUAGUAGUAGGAAACCCGCAGAGAGAAAGCGUACCCCAGAAGAGAGAGUCUUGAAGUCAACUGUAGGGAUUUUCAAAGGCGGUGUUCUUGAUGUCAGGCAUUUGCUACAUUCUGGUUCUUCGAGUACUAAUGACAGAGAUUUCAAGAUGAAGAAACCCGGUAGGAUCGAGAAGAACUUGGGAGGAGGAGGUGAUGGAGGAGGAAUCAAGUCUAAGGGAAAGAAGAAAGGAGGCAAAAAGAAGAAUAAAGGAAAGAAGAAGAAAGGAGGCGGUAAAAAGAAAGGCAAGUAAUCGCGUUAGCUAGCUCUGUAACAAGUUUUGAAGCAAAGGUUUCAAGCAUCGCUGUAUACUUCACAAGGAUUAAUCUUGGAAUUGAACAUUACUGUGAAAGAGCUGAGUUUUGUUACAAACAUGAAAUGUUCUUUAGGCAGUAUCCUCUCUUAGGACGAGUCUGUUACAGCUAUUGAUCUGGUUAUGAUUGUUUUAUCUUCUUUAUGAGUUUUGUAGACAUUGUAAUUCUUUAUUAAUGUAGUCAAGAUCCGGAUCAAUGCAAGUUCGUUUACUAGGAUACUGAUUUCUUGGAUACCAGACUAAUAUUUGUGAUGAUAAUUACUUUAAGCUAGACUUAUACUUUAAGAGUAUGAUUGUGGACUUUGACCGAGUAGUGGGUGGAUAAUCUAUUAGAUCCUAAUAAGUGAUAUGUGAUUUCACCCAAUUCUCUAAACUAAAAGAAUCCUAAAAAGCUUUGCGAUUUAGGUCACAAAAGCGAGAAAUCACAUGCGGUUUUAUGUUUUUACUCACACUAAUUUAUAUUUUCAUGUCAAUAACGUUUUUGAAUUCUUACUUCUUUGGCCGGAAAGGCGAUUGAAACAGAUUACGAAUUAUAAAAAAAAAAAAAAAUCCUGCCGUUUUUGAUUUGGGCUCCUCAUCCACAUAUGAGUGCACCUUUCAAAAUAUAUCGUAUUCUUACAUCAAUAAUGAUUAUAGAUGAUUGAAAAUUUGAAAGUUGAAAGUCGUGGAUUAAUAUUACUCAACUAUUAUUGCUCUCGAUCCGAAUAGGAUUUUGUUUUCCAUGAAAUGGAUGUGAUAUUACGUGAAUGAGUGCUUUAUGUUGAUAGUGCCAAAAAUUCAUUGAUGUGAUAGAUUGUUACAACACUUUACUUCCUAGCUGGAAUCUGGACCCAUUUAGGCUAUUCUCUUUCUAUUUUUUUCUACCUUGCGGCUUCGCCGUCCAAUUCUUUCCACCUUGUACGUGUCCUAAAUUGUGACUUGUUGACAAAUUAGGGUGGUGAAGCUCUAGUCACUAUUAAAUAUUAAUACAUGUCUACCUCAAAACUCGAUUAGACAUGAGUAAAGUAGUUAAUGAUACUUACAUUACUAGUCACUAGAGAAGGUAAGCCUAUAUUCAAGCUUCUUUGUAUUCAUAUUACCGGCCACAACGUCAAAAAAGUGGUAAAUCAACUGCUAGAAAUGCAUAAUCUUUGCAAAUCUAAUUGAUUUUUGACAAACAUGUAAGUAGUGACAAGAGUGUAAUUAAUAACAAUGCACCUAGCUAGUCACCUACACACUUCAUUUUCUUGUUGAUAUUUAGUAAAUGGUUCCAGAAUGCACAGAGGGAAAUUACGGGCCUAAAUUAUAGAUGGGCUUGGUCCAAAUCAGGAAUAAAUGCAAUACUUGGGCCACUUUAAAUCCCGUUACCUGCCAAGUUCUAUUUAAAUUUAGAUGUUCUGGAUCUUUAAUCUAUUUGGUCCACAGUUUUUACAGAUUUUGAUGAUGAUGAUUAUGGCGUAUCAAUAAAACGUAAAUCAUCGAUGCCAAAUUGUAGAGUUACGUUAGACUCGAACCUAAAUAAAAUAGUGUUGAACUUAGUUCAUUCGAUAAGAAGGCGAUUGGUUACAAAACUCUGCACUAUUUAGCCAAAUUUUACAACACUAAUUCAUUCCAAACUAAUCAUAGCAUUAGACCAAUAAACCAUAGACUUAUUGAACUAAAUGGAGAAAUAUUCUGAAUAUGAAAAUAAAUGAUGUGAGUGAGGAGGAAAGAAUAAAGCAUAAUCUGAUGAGAAUGGAAUCACAAGAGACUCCAAAAUUUAAGAAUUGUGUGUUGCUUUAUCCCUUUUGUAUUGUUUCGAUACGUUUAUUUUGUGUUCAAAGUUUCAAACCCUUCUUUAUUUUCUUCUUCUUAGUGCUUUUGGAAAAGGAGAAGGCUCAGAUUCAAGCCCCACCUAUAAAGAUACCAUAUAGUUAGCACCCCACAUUCACACCCAUUAAUUCCACAUUGUAUCCAACUAAUACACCCACAUAAAAUUUAAUAUCAUUACCUACGGGAUUGGUAUAUAGCAAAUGGUUUACCAUUUGAAAAAGAAACUUGUAUAAUUUGGAGAUUAUGCCAUAACUUUAAAAUGAAAAUCGAUAUGAUUAAUCAAUGGUUGACAAAGAAGAUAUAUAUGAUUAAUCAAUGUUCAUACAAAACUGCAUGCGUUUUAGAGAAAUAUCUUUCUUUUUUUUUUUUUAAAAUUUUUUUUUUUUUUAGAGAAAUGUCUAUAUACUGCAUGUGUCUAAUUAAGACUGAUGAAUCUAAAGAAACCAUCAUUUUUACAUAGAUUUAUAUAGAACCAAUAUUUUAAAAAGAUAGCUAGUUAUAACAAAAUUACGUACACAAGUAAUAACAAUUAACCUUAAAUAUUACAUAUAUACGAGUUACAUUUUGAAUAAACUCAUGGGAUUUUUUAUAACUCAAUGAAUACUGUCAGAGACGAGAUUUCAUUUAGAACUACAGGAUUUGAUCGAUACUAUACAUAUUUCUAAGGACAUUAAAAUUUGUCUUAAGCGAUUCCAAAAACAAGAAAAAGAAAAGUAAAAAAAGGACGAGACACUGCAUGUGUUUUGGACCGUUUGGUUAGAGAGUGAUAAAGAUAAAACUGUCCCAAACAUAGAUCCCCUCAAUCCACGCGCAAUCCCACCUGAUCCGUAUUACCCAUUUUACCCUCGUCUCGAAAGCCUUGCAACGUCUCACUGUGAAGGUUAUUUCCGUAUUUUACUCGACAACUCUCUCU